This 56571-nucleotide long non-coding RNA is filed under the name Brassica napus (rape). RNAcentral describes it as "long non-coding RNA (BNAP_LNC004284)". The record is from RNAcentral. Lineage: Eukaryota; Viridiplantae; Streptophyta; Magnoliopsida; Brassicales; Brassicaceae.
CAUUUUGCUCCCAUUCCUCCCCCUGGUAGCAUUAAACCAAAACCUGCUGGCCCCGGAACAGGCGACGCUGGAAGCGGUCAACCUGUUAGCCCAGGACCCGGCGAUGCGGGAGGUGGUCCAAAACCUGGUGGUCCUGGAACCGGUGAAAACGGAGCCGGCACUAAACCUAGUGGUCCCGGAACCGGUGAAAACGGAGCCGGCACUAAACCUGGUGACCUUGGAACCGGGGCAGAUGGAGAAGGUACUAAACCUGGUGGCUCUGGAACCGGCGAAGACGGAGCCGGUACUAAACCUGGUGGUCCUGGAACCGGUGAAAACGGAGCCGGCACUAAACCUAGUGGUCCCGGAACCGGUGAAAACGGAGCCGGCACUAAACCUGGUGACCUUGGAACCGGGGCAGAUGGAGAAGGUACUAAACCUGGUGGCUCUGGAACCGACGAAGACGGAGCCGGUACUAAACCUGGUGGCCUUGAGACAGGAGAAGACGGAGCUGGUACUAAACCUGUUGGCUCUGGAACUGGCAACGAUGGAGGCGGUCCUAGACCUGUUAUCCCUGGAAAGAUGGGACCCCUUGGUGGUGACAAGGGAAAUGAAUUCGACGAUGUUGGUUUUGAUGGUGUGAAGAAAAUAACUGUGGGAGCAGAUGAAUUCAGUAUAACUUAUAUCAAGAUCGAAUACAGUAAGGACGGAAAAGUUGAAAUACGUGAGCACGGGACAAGCCGCGGGCAACUAAAAGAGGUAUAAAACAUUUUGGUUCUUGUUUAUAGGAUAAUUAAUAUUUAAUGGUUUUGCUAAUAAAUUGUUUGAUUUUUGUGGAAAAUACAAUAUAGUUUUCGGUGGAUUAUCCAAAUGAUAACAUCGUGGCCGUUGGUGGAAGCUACAAUCAUAUUUUCACAUAUGAUACAACGCUUAUCACAUCGCUAUACUUCACAACCUCCAGGGGUUUUACCUCUCCAUUAUUCGGUGAGAAGACGGGAACAGAUUUCGAGUUCCAAGGUGAAAAUAGAGGAAAACUUCUCGGGUUCCAUGGACGUGCUGGUUUUGCUAUUGAUGCCAUCGGAGCUUACUUCCACACUGGUUCACAAGGUGGCCAGGGAGGUGGUCCUAGACCUGUUGUCCCCGGAAAGAUAGGACCCUUAGGUGGUGCCAAGGGAAAUGAAUUUGAUGAUGUUGGUUUUGAUGGUGUGAAGAAAGUAACUGUGGGAGCAGAUGAAUUCAGUGUAACUUAUCUCAAGAUCGAAUACAUAAAGGACGGAAAAGUUGAGAUACGUGAACACGGGACAAAUCGCGGGCAACUAAAAGAGGUAUAAAACAUUGUGAUUAUUUUUUUUACGAUAAUAUUCAUUGGGUUUGCUAAUAAAUUGUUUGAUUUUUAUGGAAAAUAAAAUACAGUUCUCGGUGGAUUAUCCAAAUGAUAACAUCGUGGCCGUUGGUGGAAGCUACAAUCAUAUUUUCACAUAUGAUACAACGCUUAUCACAUCGCUAUACUUCACAACCUCCAGGGGUUUUACCUCUCCAUUAUUCGGUGAGAAGAAGGGAACAGAUUUCGAGUUCCAAGGUGAAAAUAGAGGAAAGCUUCUCGGGUUCCAUGGACGUGCUGGCUAUGCUAUUGAUGCCAUCGGAGCUUACUUCCACACCGGUUCACAAGGCGGUGAGGGAGGUGGUCCUAAACCUGUAGUACCCGUAAAGAUGGGACCCCUAGGUGGUGACAGGGGAAACGAAUUCAACGAUGUUGGUUUCGAUGGUGUGAAGAAAGUAGCUGUGGCAGCUGAUGAAUUCAGUGUAAGAUCGAGUACGUAAAGGAUGGAAAAGUUGAAAUCCGUGAGCACGGGACAAGUCGAGGGCAAGUAAAAGAGGUAUUAAUUAAAUAUUUUGGUGACUUCUGUUAAAUAUUGAAUAUUUUUUGCUACAUAUUUAUUUGUUUCUAAUGAAAAACUUACAUACAGUUUUCGGUGGAUCAUCCAAAUGAUAACUUCACGGCCGUUGGUGGAAGCUACGAUCAUAUUUUCACAUAUGAUACAACACUUAUCACAUCAUUAUACCUCACAACCUCAAGAGGAUUUACCUCUCCUUUAUUCGGUGAGAUGAAGGGAACAGAAUUCGAGUUCAAAGGUGAAAAUGGAGGAAAGCUUAUUGGAUUCCAUGGACGUGCUGGUCAUGCUAUUGAUGCUAUUGGGGCCUACUUCGACACUGGUUCUAAACCGGGGGGCGACUCAAACAGUGGAAAAGGAACUGACAGCGGUUCUAGUACUAAAGACAGUGGAAAAGGAACUGACAGCGGUUCUAGUACUAAAGACAGUGGAAAAGGAUCUGACAGCGGUUCUAGUACUCAAGACAGUGGAAAAGGAUCUGACAGCGGUUCUAGUACUCAAAGACUGGAGGCACAAGGAGGCAAGGGAGGCAAUCAAUGGGAUGACGGAGGCGAUUACGACGGUGUGACAAAGAUACAUGUUGCAGUUGGUCGAUGGAUUGAGGAAAUCAGCUUCGAGUAUGUCAAGAACGGACAGACAAAGAAAGGACCCGCACGUGGUGUGAGGGGAAGGAGAUCUACCAUUGGAACGGUAUUAUGUUUCUAUUCUUUUCUAAGAAUAUUUUCUAUCAAAACACAUUAUCUAGAGCUUACUGAAAAUUUUCAUAUUGGGUUUCUCAUGAUCAUGCAGUUUGAGAUAAGUCAUCCCAACGAGUAUCUUAUUUCCGUGAAGGGUUGGUCAGAUUCAUCCAACAAAAUUGCGGGAAUUCAAUUCAAAACCAACACAAAGACUUCAAAGUAUUAUGGAUUUGAAAAAAUUCCUGGAGACGAAAGUACAGACAUUUUACUUGAAGUGAAAGACAAGAAGAUCGUCGGUUUUCAUGGCUUCGCGGACUCUCACGUCAAUGCUCUUGGAGCUUAUAUUGCUCCAGCAGCCAACUGAAAACUUUGUUGGGGUUUGUUUCUUGCUUUCCGUGUGAAUAAAGUUACCUCAGAGUCAUACUUGUGGAUUUGUCACUUCGAGGUGGCAUGGGCUAUGCUUUUUGUUUGUGUCUCAGUGUAAUUUUUGUGUGUUCAGUGUGAUGUUUGUGUAGUCACUUGUAGGGUUCUUUCUUGAUUUUCUUAUGAAUAAAGGAUGUGUCUGUUUAUUUUCAUUUGGAUUAUUUUUUUUCGUUUUUUUUUUGUAAAAAAAUAAAUGAUCUUUUCCCUUCUUUUUUUAUUGAAAAUUUUCAAAACAUACCAGAGCCAGGUUUUUUUUUUCGUUGAAUCAUGUGAAGACUAGAUAAAGGGUUUGCCUUUUAAACCAGAACUAGAUGGACCGCCCGCACGCAUGUGCGGACAUUAACAUUAAUAUUAAAUUGAUAAUUACUUAUUUACAACUAUAUAAUACUUAUGUUACAUGUACAUAGUUAAUAUGAAAGAUUCGAUGUUCAAUUAAAAUAUUUAUACUAUGAUCAUAUGAACAAAGAAUACAUUAGAACGUUUAGAAAACGAUCACAUUUAACACUAAUCUUAAAACAUCAGAAAAAUAUAAUUGAGAAAAAAUAAAUAUUUCACGCAUAACCCCAAUAAAAAAAUCAGCCAUGAAAUAUAAAAGAGAGAUUUUGAAUUACUUGAGAUUUAUUAUCAUUGGAAUCAUUGUAACAACAGAGAUGAUUUACGGUUUCCUUCUCUAAGCCUUAAGUCAGAAAAGAGGUAAUUCUAACAAAGAUAUUUAAAGAUGUAAACAAUCCCCAAAAGAUAACAAAUUAUAUAAUUGAUAGGACAACGUCAAUGAGUUUCAAAGUUUUUAAACAGCUUUGAGAUUACCUUUGGCUCUCAGACGUACCGAAGAGGAUCACGCACAAUAAAUAAAUUGCACUUGAUUAGCAUACACAUCUUAUAUUAUAUUCUUGAUAAGUGAUUUAACUUUAUAAAAAAAAGAAUUACCUUUUUCGAAAGGGAUGAUCAGUUCCUGGAUAAACAGAGUCGUCUCUUUUUGUUAGUUGAAUCACUACUGAUGCAAAAAUAUAGAUAGAUAUACAACAUGGAGAGGAAGAGAACAAAAAAAAACGGAGAAGAAGAAUCUCCCAUAAAAUUACCAAUAAUGGUGUUCCCGUCUAUGAGUUACUUAUUGAUUAUCAUACACCUGCGCAAGAUCACAAAAGUAUAAUUUAAAUUAGAACGAUCAAAAACAUAUGAAAACUUAAAAGAUGGAUGCGUGAAACUAAUGGGGUGGCGUGAUAUUUAUAUAGCAAAUUAGUUUAAGUUUCUAAAUGACCUAGUUUUCAAGAGAAGCUAUGAGAUAAAAUAUCCUCUAAUAAAUUUUGAUUCAGCUAUAAGAUAGAAUAUCUUAAAAAAUUUAUUAGAAGAUAUUCUCGUUAUAAUAUAUACAUAAUUUUGGUAACUUAAAUCUUGCUAUAUAUAUAUUUAAAUAUUAAAUGCAUGAUAUUAUGAAAGAAUAUAUAUCGCCAGUUGAUUGCAACUGGUUUUUGAUAAAACAAAUCCCACUAUAAUGAUUUAAAUAAUAGUUAAUAAGGAAAGAAUAAGGAAUUUUGACGUUAAAACCCUUCAACUAAGUUUGUUUUGGAUAAAAAACCCCAAACUAAGUAUUUAACGGAAAAACCACAUAAACUAACUUUAUUUAAUGAUUUAAACUCUAACAGGUCAUAAUUACUAUUACUACCAGUAAAUAUUUAGUUUAGAGAUUAAAAUUGUUUCACUCAUAAGUUGGAUAACACACGCAUCUAAAAUUAGAAAUUGCUGCGACCAAACAAAGAAAUUGGAAGCAUCAAAACAACUAUUGUGAUCUUUUAAAAAGAGGAUAUACAUAUUUGGAAGCAUUUUUCAUAAAAAGUUGAGAUAAAUAGGAACACAUAGAAAUAUUAUAUUUGAUCCACUAAAGUUUUGUCUGUAUUUCUCUACAAAAAAAAUAAUUUAAAAUAUAAUGUACGUAGAUUUGAAAUGAUGAAAAUAAAACAACAGAAUUAAAAAUAUAUGUAAGAUAUUCAGUUUAUAUUUAAAAGACUUACCAAUAGUUUUGUAAAAUCGUUGAAUAUUCUGAUAUAUUGUGAUAAUAGUCUAUUUGCAUCAACUAAGUUGUUGAUACUCUUUCUCUUGGUAGGGUGUUAGGUUUUUGUUGUCUCUCCACAUCUUAUGAAAGAUGCAUCACAUCAUUUUUCGGGUAUAGUGUUAGGUAUUUCUGCAAACUUGCAACAGUUACAAAAACAAAGCAAAGUUUUGAAGAGUAACAUAAAAGAGAAACAAUAAGAGAAGAACUAAUGAUACCACUUGUUUUUAGAUUAUGUACGUUCUGCUCUUACACUCUGUUUGUUGUAAAGAGCGCUCCUUUGUUUUUUUCUUUGUAGUUUGAGAUUUUUGUUUUGCUUGAUUAUCUGUUGGCCUAAAUCGUUUUCUUGUUAAUGCCAAGUUUGUCUUCAGUCUUCUUCUUUCUCGUUUCUGUUUUUGUUCGUUCCAGAAAUGUACCUUACAGAAAAAUCUUUAUAUAUUUCAUUUUGUAAGUAUAUUUCAGAUUUUUCAUAUUUGGAAAAAGAGAUAACCUGAGGCUGAGUUCUUCUAAGGGAAACCUUGCAUGUGAGAGAGCGAGGCUUAAUAUACAGACACUACAUAUAAAAGAGUGAGAUCAUGAGAGACUGAGUAAGAAAAAAAAUAUGUUUGCGUGGAAGAUAAAACGUUGAAUAUAAACACAAUAUUUGUGAAUUUGAGUAGUCGAGAAAGUGUGUUUUUUCUUUCUUUUUGCGUGUGGAUCAAUAAGAUGGCAAAUAUAAAUGAUGGAUGAAUAACUGGAAUCUGGAGAUUGAUAAUUGGUGAUCGUGGAGUUGUUGGAGAGAAAUGGAUGAGCAAGUACUUUUUACAGUAAAUUUAGGAAACAAACACAUAAUUUAGUUGUGGAGAUCGUGCUUGCCAUUUAUUUUUUUCAAUAAUGAUUUUAUUGUUUUACAUAUAUUUUUAAUUUUUAAAAUAUAAAUCCAUGUGUCAAAAUCUGAUUGGUAAAGUGACUUGUGCUUUAGUAUAUAAGGGAUAAAUUUUCAAAAUACAUUUUAUAAAUUAAUGUAUAAGCUUCUAUAAAUGACUUAGAACCUCUUAUAAUAAUUUAAAACUUCUGAUUUUUAUAAAUGUAUUUAUAAUUUUAUAAAUGAUUUAUAAAGCAUGCAUUGAAUUAUUAGACAUUAAUAGUUAUUAUGAUACUUUAUAUACAAAUAUAAUUCUUUCUGUACGAAUAUAAAAUCAUUAUAUCAAUUCAAAUAUACACCUUUGUUUAUUAUUUUAUGUAAUUUAUAAAUAUACUAGUAUAUUACCCCGUGCUCUGCACGGAUCAAUUUUUAGUUGUUGGAGAGAAAUGGAUGAGCAAGUACUUUUUACAGUAAAUUUAGGAAACAAACACAUAAUUUAGUUGUGGAGAUCGUGCUUGCCAUUUAUUUUUUUCAAUAAUGAUUUUAUUGUUUUACAUAUAUUUUUAAUUUUUAAAAUAUAAAUCCAUGUGUCAAAAUCUGAUUGGUAAAGUGACUUGUGCUUUAGUAUAUAAGGGAUAAAUUUUCAAAAUACAUUUUAUAAAUUAAUGUAUAAGCUUCUAUAAAUGACUUAGAACCUCUUAUAAUAAUUUAAAACUUCUGAUUUUUAUAAAUGUAUUUAUAAUUUUAUAAAUGAUUUAUAAAGCAUGCAUUGAAUUAUUAGACAUUAAUAGUUAUUAUGAUACUUUAUAUACAAAUAUAAUUCUUUCUGUACGAAUAUAAAAUCAUUAUAUCAAUUCAAAUAAACACUUUUGUUUAUUAUUUUAUGUAAUUUAUAAAUAUACUAGUAUAUUACCCCGUGCUCUGCACGGAUCAAUUUUUGUUUGCAUAAAUUCUCUCUUUUCUCCUAAAUUUCAAUGUUUUUAUUAUGAAACAGAUUUUAUUCGAUUAAAAUUGUUUCACUCAUAAGUUGGAUAACACACGCAUCUAAAAUUAGAAAUUGCUGCGACCAAACAAAGAAAUUGGAAGCAUCAAAACAACUAUUGUGAUCUUUUAAAAAGAGGAUAUACAUAUUUGGAAGCAUUUUUCAUAAAAAGUUGAGAUAAAUAGGAACACAUAGAAAUAUUAUAUUUGAUCCACUAAAGUUUUGUCUGUAUUUCUCUACAAAAAAAAUAAUUUAAAAUAUAAUGUACGUAGAUUUGAAAUGAUGAAAAUAAAACAACAGAAUUAAAAAUAUAUGUAAGAUAUUCAGUUUAUAUUUAAAAGACUUACCAAUAGUUUUGUAAAAUCGUUGAAUAUUCUGAUAUAUUGUGAUAAUAGUCCAUUACCAUUACACAUUCUCACAUCCAAACCCAUCUUCGAUUCCUCCGAACUGUCUAAUAUCGAGGUGCCAUUGCAUGCCUUAUCAGGAACUGUCUCCGUUUCCAACUUUCCUGCUAAUCAUGUUUCAUAAUUCAUCUCAGACCUAUGUUUUCACUUAAAAAUCAUAUGUUCUUAAUAACAUUACUUUAAAUAUAUAUAUAAAUUAUAUCAUCUUGCUCUUGGUACACAUUUUUCUUGAGCAAGGUCUUGAUCAAUAUUGCUAACCGUGGUCGUAAACGUAUUUUUGGUUGGGAUACAUCUGGCUAUAACAAUCAAUAUCAGGUUGUACCUACAUAAUUAAUCAAGAAAGAAAUUAACUUUGUGAAGGAGGGAAACUAAAAGUGGCAAGAUACACCUUUUGUUGAGCCGAACAUGCAUACCUUGCUUCCUUAGAAACGGUUCCAUCUCAUGUGUGAACCGUUCUAGAAGACCUCCCUUCAGUUCAACCUGAUCAGUCAAUAGUACCAAAACAGUAUUGAUCAGUAAUGAAGAUUAACGCAAUCACGCUUGUAUGUUUAUCAAGCUGGCAAUAAUUUUAUUCACAAACCAUUUAUACUGCCACUCCUUCUAAAGUCAGAAUCUUCAUAAGCGUCAAAUAAGCUGUAAUGAUAACCAGAAGAAGCAUUUAGAAACAGUUAUAACAGUGAUACAUGAAAGGCAGGAGAGAGAUGGAUACAGUUUAAGCCUUUCACUGCUGUCUUCACAAAGCAAGAUGAGAAAAAGAGGUCUUAGAGAGAGAGAUGAUACCUUUCAACCUCUUCCUUUGGCAUAAGCAGUUCAUCAUCACCAUGAAGCAGCUGAAAUAAAAUUCCAAACAUAUGUAAAAACGCAACUGGCGAGAAAAGACCACGUAAUAUAAAACAACCAUUGUAAGAAGCAGAGUAAACAACCUUGGAGGCUUUAAAGAUGGCAUGAUGGACUUCAUCAGAAGUAGAACUGCAGAGAGCAAACUACAUCACUUUAUUUUAGGCGAGGAAGACUGAAUGUGACAUAUAUUAAUCUCACUUACAAUCAAGCAACCCCCAGCUAUUCAUAAUUACAAAAAAAAAAAAAAACAAAGAAACUCACCUUCCAUGGUGUCUAAACUGUUGUAUGAACUCCUUGAAUUUGAUAGUUUUCAUGUUUUUAAAAGAGAAAACAUGGACAGAGUUAUAUUCUUUGACAGUCUCUCUGAUGCCAUUAACAAUAGUCGUCUUGUGUCCCCUCUGCAAUAACAACAACAACAUUCAUCAAGUAAUUCGAUAGUAAAAGCAAAGGUUUAGGCUUUAUUCCAGAUGAUUCCUUUAAAAAUAGCACACAGCUUCCCAGCUCAGUAACAAAGAUGUUAUAGUUUCAAGAAACAGAAGUAUGAAAGAGAGGAGGAAGAAAGAUUUCAGACCUGAUUUGUCUUGCUUUCACUUAGGUAUGUCUUCUAGAGUUUCAGACUGAUGAAGUGAAAGUGAGAGAAACCAAAGUAGAGGGCUUUCCUAUGAAAUCGGAAAGUAUAAACUCUACAAAAAACUCGAAGCUGAUAAUGUGUUUUCUCCUCGCCGGCUUUCUUUACAUCAGUGAGCCUACAUAAUCUCAGGAGACGAACGUCAACGCCGGCGGCCUUCAAAUCACCGAGUAGCAGACUGGAGUUUGACAUUCUAGUUACUGAGAGAAUCAAAACCAAAGUGAUUAAAAGGAAUGAUCUGAUAUUUUUUCAGAAAGAAAACACAGAUAUUUAUAGUACCAGCUUCACACAAUUGAACUAAUGUUGCUAAUGUUGACAAUGCAUGAAUCGAGUCGAGUACCGUAACGGCGCCGGAAUUCCUUCCCGGGUUGAAGAACUCGAAUCGACAAAACAGUGACAACGGAUUCUAUCUGAUCUUGUAUUGAAUCAAUCGUAGCCCAUGAAACACUCGAUCUUCAUUGAUGGUUGGGAGAACUAUAGUUGUUAGUCGGCGAUUCAAUCCGUGUAAUGGCGAAAAACAAAAAGUGGAAAAAUCUGAUGGUUGAGAGGCUGUCGAGCAAGACAUACAAAACGCAGGCCCACAUCUUAUGCACACUUCGAUUAAUAAAACAGAGCGUUCAAUAAAAAGAACACGUGUUAACACAGGAAUUUUUGAAUUUGUCACCAGUUUCUUCGUCUCAGGCGCUUCAAAAGAAAUCGGAGGAUUGAAGAAUUCUUAUAAAAUCGAAAAUCCAGAAGCAAAAAAAACGAAUUGGAGAAGCUGUAAAGGAAACUUGAAGAAUCUAAUGAAUACAUUAAUAAUAAGGGAAGUCUAAGAGUGCUCUGUGAUUUUCUCAGUUCUAUGUUUUUAAGAAAGAAAUAAUGGUUGAAGUUAAUGGCGAAAUCACCCGAAGUGUGUGGAGCAGAAAAUGAAUUGUAGGAAGACACGUGUUGACACCAGAAGACCUGAAUUUCUUAGGUGGAAUCUGACGUGGAGGGCCCUGGAGAGAGAGAACUCUACUUUAUAUAUAUAGAUAUAUUCAUUUCACACAAAUAAACACAUGGUUCGAUAUCACCCUCGAAAUCAGAUUAAGAAGAAAAAGAAAGUUAGAAGCUUUUCAACCUUUUAAGAUUUCUCUCUCUCAAUAUAUGUUUGGAUAUUUCGGGUAACGUUUCGGGUAUCGGAUAUAAUCCAUCGGGUUCGGUUAUCCGGACAUACUCAUAUUAAAAGCCAUUCAUGUAUUUUUAUAUCACGGUUCAGUUUCGGUUGGAGUAUUUUUGUUUUGGGUUCGGAUUUGGGUAUCAAAUAAAAUGCUCAGGCUUGCCCAUUGAUACAAUCAAAUGUGUUACACUAUUUUUAUUACAUCUAUCUUAUUAAAAUAGAAGUACAUAUAAAAAUAAUUUUAAGACUUCUACUAUGCUCAGUUCUGUAAGUCUUCUGAAAAACUUCCAGAAAAUCUUCUCAUAUAGUUGAUCUUAAAAAUAAUUUAUGAAUUUUAUAAAAAGAUAUUGUUCUAGGGAAAAAAUUGAAUUCAUGUAAUUAUAAACAUUUUGGAAAUGAUAGAAAUUAAGAUAUAGUAAAAUUGAAUUGUUUUCAACAUAGGUGAGUGAAUGUAGAUUGAAUCAUGAUAUUCUAUGGUUUAGGGUUUGGUAGCAUAUGUCAUAGUAUUGUUUGUAUUUUAGAGUUAGAUUUUGGAAUCUUAACUUCUUUUUUUUUAAACUAAAUUUGACAUAUAUGUGUUUAGUUUUUUGUAUAUUAGAUACUUUAAAAGUUAAUUUUAAGCUUAGUGAAGUGUUAAUUUAUGUUUAGUUAGUUAUUUGAUUUUAGGGUUUAGGUUAGUUAAGUCUUCUUAUGAAUAAUUCACUAGAAGACUUUCCUAUCUUUUGGGAGAAUAGUAAAUUUAGGGAUUAAAAGAUUUUACGAAAGUCUUCUAUUAGAAGACUUCCCUAAAAGUCUUCUGAAUCGAAAAUAUUUAACAUAAUUGAAAACUUUUGUCUCACUUUAUAAAGAAAACUAGAUAUUGACCCGUGCACAUGCACACAUGUUUUUUAAUUUUACGUUUUUCAAAAUUUAUCAAACAUAAUUUUUGGUAACUAUUUUUAAUUCUUACCAAUAUUUUCUCGAUGUUUAACAUUGUUUUAAAGUUUAUGUGCAGAAAUUUUAUAAAUUGUUUUGAAAUGUUAAUUUUUAAAUUUUAUAUAUAUAUAUAUAUAUAUAUAUAUACAUAUUAUCUUGUUGGUUUAGCAUUGAAACGAUAGAAUAACUAUUUACACAAAUAAAUCAUUUUUAUUUGAAUUUACCGUCUGAUUUUAAAAGGUUCGGCAUUUUUUAAAAAAGCAAAAAUUGUUUUUGCAGACAUAUUUAGGUUGUUUGAUGAAUCUAAUUUGCUUUGAAGCUAUAUGAAUCUAAUGUGCUUUGUUAGUCUGACUCUGUAGGUUAAAAAGAAAAAUUAACAAAAUAUUAACCAAGCGUGAUUUACACGUUUAAAUAAAAAUAUAUAAGUAUCUCUUAAAUAAUUAAAAACCGUUCUUUUUUAUUUUAAUAGUGUAUAAUAUUUGUAGUUAAGAUUAGAGAUAUUUGAUGACAAUAUAAUAGCAUAUGAAUAAUGUGGUUUACUUUCUUGGAAUUUUUGUAUAUUUUGCAUUUUGAUAGAGGUCCAGAUAAAAUUAUAAAUCCAAGCAAUGAAAAUUAAUGUAUAUAUGAAAGUAAUAUUCCAUGAUUAGUUUAAGGAGUCUCGAGAUUUUAUUGAAUAUCUGAAUUAAUUUAUGCUUUAAUGCUGAUUACUUACUGUUAUUAAAUGAAAAUAAGACCAGUGACAUUUAAUUAUAAUUAUUGAGUAAAACUUUGGGUCAGAUUUUAUUUAUACUCCUACGAUCCUGUUUUAAUAGUUUAUUGUUUGCAUAAAUUCUCUCUUUUCUCCUAAAUUUCAAUGUUUUUAUUAUGAAACAGAUUUUAUUCGAUUAAAAUUGUUUCACUCAUAAGUUGGAUAACACACGCAUCUAAAAUUAGAAAUUGCUGCGACCAAACAAAGAAAUUGGAAGCAUCAAAACAACUAUUGUGAUCUUUUAAAAAGAGGAUAUACAUAUUUGGAAGCAUUUUUCAUAAAAAGUUGAGAUAAAUAGGAACACAUAGAAAUAUUAUAUUUGAUCCACUAAAGUUUUGUCUGUAUUUCUCUACAAAAAAAAUAAUUUAAAAUAUAAUGUACGUAGAUUUGAAAUGAUGAAAAUAAAACAACAGAAUUAAAAAUAUAUGUAAGAUAUUCAGUUUAUAUUUAAAAGACUUACCAAUAGUUUUGUAAAAUCGUUGAAUAUUCUGAUAUAUUGUGAUAAUAGUCUAUUUGCAUCAACAAAGUUGUUGAUACUCUUUCUCUUGGUAGGGUGUUAGGUUUUUGUUGUCUCUCCACAUCUUAUGAAAGAUGCAUCACAUCAUUUUUCCGGUACAGUGUUAGGUAUUUCUGCAAACUUGCAACGGUUGGUCGAUCAAUUUCAGACAUUUUACCUAUACUCAUGCGUUCGAUGCAUUCACUAUUAAUCUUCUCAUAAUACAGGUACCUAGCCAAGAUAUCUGUGUACGACAAUAAUGACCAGGCGGUUUUUAUGCUCCUUGGUGACUCUGGUCAUGAGCUGUCUGGGAAGAAGGCUUCUGAGUUGGUUGAGAGUUAUUUCGAGGUAGUUACAAACCUAUCUGGCUUUGUUAUUUAACUGUAUACUCCCAAGAUAUUUAAAAAUGUAUAGUGACAAUUGUUUAAAUGUAUGUUAGGCCAACGAGGAUGAAGGAUCUGAUAACUUGGUUCCGGUCCCUCAAGCUCUGAUUGAUACCAUAGGCCGGACUCGCAAGUUCAUUGUGAAGGUAUCAACCCACAAUUUGACUGGCAAGACCCAAACUUUGACUGUGACAAAGGUGCUCACUCCAGAAGACCCAGAUAUUGGAGUCAAUUUAGAAGAAUCUGAUGGUGAGAGGGUGAAAAGGGCUGCUGAAAACAUUGAGGGAGAAGAGCCCAAGAGAGCCAAAUGUGGCUAAGGUGUGAUUAGUGGUGGUUUUAUGGUUACUAAAACUCUAUGCUUCAUUUCUUUUCAUUUUCAGACCUUGGUUUUGCAACAUUGAACUUAUCUUUCUUAAAAUAACGAUGGUUACACUCAUUUUUAAUGUUUUUUCUUCAAGUUUGAUGUUUGGUUAUUUUACUUUUGUUAUAUCUGAUGCUUUUUCCAUCUUUGAUUGAGCCUUUAACUUUUAGUUUGCUUGCUUGAUUUUUUUCUUUCGAUACUCCCUUAAACAAAACAUGUUAUAACUGAGCCUCCACUUAAUCAUUUCUCUGAAAAUGAGGAAACUAAGAUUGUUAGUAGGCACAGAGAAUGGCUGUGUUUUACCAAUCAAACUUUAAAAUGAUUAAGAAAAAAAUGAAAGUGAUGCAGUCAAUGUGUUUAUUUCGCAGUAGAUACAUGCACAUUAUUUUUAAGUAUUUUGUAGUAGCUAUUAGAGCAGCCGUUUUUAUAUAAAAGCUUUUUUUUUUAAUAUGAAAGCUUUGUUUUUUUUUUGACGACUAAUAUGCAAGCUAUGUUAUAUUUGAAUAUAAAAGCUUUGUUAUAUUUUUGAACUUUAAACUAUGUUUUAUAUAAAGUUUUUUUAACUAUGUUUUAUAUAAAGUUAAAAAAUGUUUAAUUGAUUUUUUGACAACUGAUCUAGAAAAUAUAUAUUCACAAAAAAAAAGCUGAGAAUAAUACUUAAUAAAAAAUUAAUUAUUAAUACAAAUACAUUGUCAAAUGAACUAUAAUGAAUGUGUGAUGUUUGAAUGUUUCCACAUCAUUGAUGUUUGGAUGUUUGAAGGAUUGGAUUAUAUAUAUUACGUAUGCAUUCACAUAUAUUAAUUUUAUUUUUUUAAAAAAUAUUGUGAUCUAAAAUAUUAUUGUUUUGGCUUUACGCAAACGGGGUACGAGCAUUCAAAUCUUAUAUGUUUUUGGUUAAGUAAUAAUAGUUCAGGAAUAAUAAAGAUACACGAUCCAGUCAAACAUAACAAACGAUACUGCGUUAGUGCCUCAUAUAACUCAUACUCAGGAACCCUUAAUGGACUUUUCGGCUUUACGCACCAUUAGCAUAAUAAACAAACUCCUUAUCCAGUGACAUACCUGAGAUUAACCGGUCAACCGGUCUGAAAUCUAUUUAUUCAUCAGGCAACCAGUUCUCUGGUUACAUUCCUUCCAACUAUUUCUCAACAAUGGUUUCUCUGAAUAAAGCUUGGCACUCAAGCUUCUCUUCAUUUUGAAUAAAUCAGUACCCCUAUUACAUACAAAAACAUUGAAACUUAAAAUCGGGGAGUACACCAUCAACACACUCCUAUUACAAACAGAAACAUUGAAACUUAUCAUCGAAGAGUACACCAUCAACCCACUUUUCCGCGCGUAGCGCGGAGAAAGGCUCUAGUAUGAGUAAAAGCAUUAGAUUACAAAUNNNNNNNNNNNNNNNNNNNNNNNNNNNNNNNNNNNNNNNNNNNNNNNNNNNNNNNNNNNNNNNNNNNNNNNNNNNNNNNNNNNNNNNNNNNNNNNNNNNNNNNNNNNNNNNNNNNNNNNNNNNNNNNNNNNNNNNNNNNNNNNNNNNNNNNNNNNNNNNNNNNNNNNNNNNNNNNNNNNNNNNNNNNNNNNNNNNNNNNNNNNNNNNNNNNNNNNNNNNNNNNNNNNNNNNNNNNNNNNNNNNNNNNNNNNNNNNNNNNNNNNNNNNNNNNNNNNNNNNNNNNNNNNNNNNNNNNNNNNNNACUAGAUUUUGACCCGCGCUUUCAAAGCGCGGGUUUAUUUUUGUUUUUUUUUUCAAUUGACAAAUAUUUAGUAAAUGUCACAUUUUCAUAUAUUUGUGUUUUAUUUUAUAAAAGACUUAAAAAAUUUAUCUUUAUUUAUCGUAUUUCAUUUAAUGACUAUUUAUGUUUAAGAAAUUAAACUUUAUUUUUUUAAUGAAUUAAGUUGGUAUAACUCUGAUAAAUUAAUUUUAUCAUGGGGUUAAUAUUUUAAUUAAAAAAUGAUAUACUUUUAAAAAAGAUUUAUAUUUUUCAAUAAAAAAAUUCAAUUAUUUUUAUGAAUGCUUAAAUUAUAUUAAGAAAAGAAAAAAAUAAUAAUUAAGAAUAGUUGAAAAAAAAAAUAUUCGAAUUUGGACUCAAUGGCCCAAAGGAAAAAAAAGUGAGAAUUGAAUCUGAUUUAUAAUAGGCCCAAAUUGCCCAAGAGAGAUUUUAUGUGGGGUGGAUCCAAAAAUAAUGACCCAAUAUAGAUUUGUUAUUAAUAUUAUUUAAUUGCCCUUAAUGAAACAUGCAAUGUUAGUGAAGGAAAGGGCAGGCUAAGGUAAUUAUGACAAUAGGAUCCUGCUUUAAUAGUAUAGAUUUGCACAUUUUCUCUUUUUAUCUCAAAUGGCUUAAACAAAAAUGUAAUGUUUCGUACUCUAAAACUCUCCAACUCCUGUCUAAUUUCUUUAAACUUGAAAAUACCAAACUUUAUAUCAAUUUUUUAUUUUUUUUUAUCUCAUGUCUUUUUCACUAAUUUAUCUUGUUUUUGCAGGUUUUUAGCUGCAUGGUUCUCAUCUUCCAUUCGUUUAAAGGUAUAUCUAUAAAUUUAAUUAGAUAUGUAUUUUUGUGUGUUCUAUAAAGGUAGAUUUAUCGCAUUUUUCACUCAUUUCUCUGUUUUGAAGCCACUUGAACGGUUUUGGAUUCACAUGUUGUUCAGAUCUGAGUUAGGCUUUGGAAGUCUUCUAACAUAUAAUGCGCUACAAGACUUCCUAAAGUCUUCUGACGGAGUCUUCUCUCAUGUCUCUUCUUUCAUAACAAAUCUGAGUGUUUUGAUAAGUUUUUUAUCUGAUUUUUUUUCAGUUGGUAACAUUUGGUUGCUUAAAACUCUUACAGUUUUUCCAAACUAAAACUCUCCGACCUCUCUCUAAUCUCUUAGAACUUGAAAACACCAAAUUUUAUACCAAUUUAUCAAUUUUUAUCUCAUGUCUUUCUCACUAAUUCAUCUUGUUGUGCAGGUUUCUUAUUACAUAGUUUUCAUCUUCUACUCCUUUAAAAUUAGAUCUAAAUUUUUUGGAUAUGUAUUUUUCUGUGUUCUUUAAAAGUAGAUCUAUUUCAUCUUCCACUCAUGUUUUUGUUUUGAAGCCACUUGAACGAUUUUGGAUUUGCAUGGUGGUUGAUGUACUAAUAACAAUGGAAAUUUAGUACUAAUAACAAUUGAAAUUGUUUGUUCAUGUUGGUUGAUGUACUAAUAACAAUGGAAAUCUUGUAAAUAAAAUAGGAAUAUGAGGAUGAUUGACUGAAACAACCAUUUUCAAAAAAAAUUAAUAAAAUAAUAAUGGCACGUGAAUAAUUCAAACUUUUACAGUGAAUAGGGAAAACGAAAGUUUCAAAAAAAUCAUGGGUUAGUUUUGUGUUUAACUUUGAGUUUAAGUCAUUUUUGCAAAAAAAAAACCAUAAAUAUAUUAUCGUACGUAUAUUUUGAUAUAAAUAAUACCUCAAUGUUAAUUCAAUAUGAUAAAUGUCGAAGAGUAUAAAAUAUAUAGUACCAGAUUUUAAAUAGUAUAUACAUAUUUUAUUUUACAUUAUCAUAAUAAUUUAAUUCAAAAAUAAAUAAAAAUAGAUUUGUGCGAAUGCACGGGUCAUAUUCUCAAAAUGUGGGUGAUACAAUUGACGGUUUGCAAAACAAAAUAAAAUUACUCAAUGUAAAAUAUAAAUUAUUUUAUUUAGAAAUAUCAUAUUAAACAAUUAUUUAAUACGUGUAGAUUAUAAAAUAUAUAUUCUCACUUAUACAAAAUAAACAUUUAUUUAUAAAAAGUAAAAGCAAACACCCGCAUACUAUUUAAAAUAUGAAGUUUAUAUAGAAAGGUUUAUAUUAAAAUCCAAAUAUUUCCUUUUUAGAUUGUAUAGGAUUUACCAAUCUUAUUUACAAAUAUACUAGAUUAAGACCCGCGCCUUGCGCGGAAUGAAUAUUAUAUCUAAAUUACUUUUAUGUAUUAUAUGUUUUUUACAUAUUAUGAAAUAAUAAAUAUAUAUUGAAUUGGUACAAAUACAUAAAUAAAUUUUAAUUAUCCACACAAAUAAUUUUUUUCUAUUUUAUAUGGUAUAAAAUUAAGUUUAAAUGAUAUUAACAUAGAUAUAUAAUACAUUUUUAAUGUUGACAUCUGUUAAAAAAAAUUAUACUCAUAUUAUUUUUGAUCAUUUGUAUUUCUUUAUAAAAAAAAUUUAAAUCACUGAUAAUAAUAAAAAAAUUAUGGGAUGUUUAAUAGUUUUAGUAAUUUAUAAUUUUAAAAACAUUCAAUGCAAAGUUUAAAAUCAAAAUUUUAAGUUGCCAAUAUUUGUUUAAAAUGUUUAUCAAAAAAAAAUCAAAGCAAAUUUCGAAAUUAAAAUACUUAUGUAUUUUUUAUGGUAUAUAAUUUUUUUAAAAAAAUAUUAAUAUAUAUAUAUAAUAUUUAUUAAAUGAGACUUCCAACGUAAUUUCAUAAUAAUUUAUAUCUUGUUAUAACAUAAAUUUUAAGCCAUGGAUCACCAAAAUUUCAAUGCUAGAUUUUUAACAGUUUUAACAGUUUUAGUCAUUUAUAGUCGUUUUUAAAAAUUCAAAAUAUAACAUGUAUGAAAAAAUCUAAAUUUUUUUAUAUAGUUAAUACGGUUGUUUAAUUUAUUUUAAUAAGUUAAAAUUUUAAAAAGUGAUAAAGAAUAGACUAAUUUUUAUCAAAUAUUUAUUAUUCAAAAUCAUUAAUUGCCAUAUAUAUAUAUUUUAGCUACAUUAGGUAAUUUCGUGAUUUUUAUUUAAGGAAACAAUUAGGAGCAUUAAUUAUUAAUUUAUGGUUAGUUUAAUAAAAAACUUAUUACAUAUAUAUAUGGACCAACAUAUUUUUCUAAGGAUUCUAAGAAUGAUUAUGGUGAUGACACGUGACUACAAAAAUAUGUUGUAAUGCUUCUCUUUUAAUAUAUAAAAGAUAUCUUGUUAUUAAUCUAUCUCCAAUAAAAUGAAAAAAAAUAAUUAUAACUACAACUAGGUAUGAGGUUCGAAUCUUACAGACUAUGCAAUUUCUUAAAGAUUAUAUGAUGCAAAGCUUUUUAGAGGCUCUAGAGUACUACAGACAAAACCACUCGUUGUGGUUGUCUAGUGCGCACAGGACAUGUCUAUCGAAGAUGUCGUACACUGUCUGUCGAUCCAAGUUUUUCGGGAGAAUUUCAUCGUGGAAUUAUUAUCUGUGGUAUUGAUCAUCAAUUUCGCAUAUAUUGCAACUAAUUGAUCAUCGUAUGUAAUAGAUUAGAAAUUAUAUGAUCAUGUAGUUGGUAAUUACCCAUGGUUUAAAAAAAUCCACGAAUAGCCAUUCUUUUUCAUGUUUUUUUUUUUAACUUAAAGCUUAUUUAUCCCUUUCUUAUUAAUAAAGAAACAAUUUGAAAUAGUAAUCUUGGUUUUGCAAGUUAAUUACAUACAAACCUGCUGAGAUGUCAUGCUUACAUUCAAUCUCAGCCAUGCUUUAGAAAGACCCUUUAAUUACUCGCAGUGUUUUGAAACCCGACCCGGACCCACGGUUGAACUGGUAAACCCGGUGACCUAGAAAAAAUCCGGUUUGGAUUUUGUGAAAAACCCAACAUUUAGAAACCUGCAAAAACAUGAAAAAACCCACUAAAAUCCGGAACCCGAUCCGGUUGAACCACCGGUUGAACCACCGGUUGAACCACCGGUUGAACCACCGGUUGAACCAAUAAAUAACUUUUACUUCUUUUCUUUAGUUUUUAAUUAUGUUUUGUAUUCUAAGUUUCCAAUUAACAAGUUAUUUUAUGCGUUAGAAAAUAUUUAAACUAUUAUUAAAUUAUGUUUUGUAUUCUAAGUUUCCAAUUAACAAGUCAUAUCCAAACUAUUAUUUUAUGUGUUAGAAAAUAUUAAAUUUUAGUUUCUAUAUUAUUAUUUUCAUAGCUAAUAUAUUAUUAUAUAAUAAAAUUAAUUCAUUUAUUAACCUGCGGUUCACCCGCGGUCGACCCAUCGACCCGAUAGAUCGUCCGGUUCAGUGUCCGGAUCGGGUUUAAAAACAUUGAUUACUAGACAAUUUACAAAACCAUGCCACUUGCAGAAAAUGAAAACCCGACCACAUAACAUGAACUAGAUUUUGAUCCGCGCUUGAAAGCGCGACUUCUUUUGUUAUAUUUUUUUUGAUAUCAAUUAGUAUUUUGUGAUUGUUUUAUAUUAUUAUAUUAUAAAUAGAAAUUAUAUAAAAGAAUUAAUUUUUUAAAAUAUAUAUAAUUUGUGAAUUAUUUUAUUUGGAAUUAUGUAUAAAUCUUAUGUAAUUCUCUCUUACGCAUGGGCAUUUUACAUGAACCCCGAAAAACCAAACCAAAAUUAACUCGAAAAUACGUAUUCUUUUGGAAAUGUGGGCCUCUGUUCGCGUCUGAGACCUACCCGAAACCCGUUUGGGAGCCAAAGUACCGAAAAUGUUUGCGUAUAUUAGAUAUAUUUGUGUAUUUUGGAUAUAUUUUUGGUAUACAUAUAUUUUUGAGUUUUUGGUUUGAAUUUCCGGUUAUAGUUUUGAAUUUCGAGUAAAAAUUCAAAUUUUAAAAAUAUAUUUUUGGGUAUUCAGAUACAAUUUUGGGUAUUCUUUGGUUCUUUGGGUCAGAUUUCAGAUAAAAUUUUAGGUAUUUUGAGUAUUUUUUUAGAUUUUUGGGUUUUUGUUUAGAUUUUUGGAUAUUUUUCGUGUUUCGAGUAUUUUUAUGUUUAUCGAGUAUUAUUUGAGUCCUAAAUAUCUGAAUAGAUCCAUACCCGCUACGUACAAAAAAAUAACAUAUAUUUUAUAGGUAUUUGAAUUAUGGAGCCGAAACCAUCCAGAUUCGAAAGAAACUAUCCAAACCCAAAUAAUUUUUUUCUAAAUACCUAAUUAGAUCCAAAAACCCCCGACCUAGCAAAAUUCAUUGAUUUGUUUUAUAAAAUUUUGGGUGGAAAUAUUCUUGAGGUUUGAUCAAUAAUGUUUAAUAAGACAUGGCUCAUUUACAUUUCAAAAGUUGAUCUCGUAAGAAAAUUUUGAUCUAAUAAAGGAUGAUGGUAUAGAUGAUAAUGACCCCUACGUAUUGAAACUUCGGUGCCGUUUAUAUCAAAUGUAUUUAUGUUAAAUUGAAGUAAGUUGAUUUAAGUAAAAUAACCAUUUGAAACAUUCUGUAUAUGUACUCAUGAUCUUAUUAAAGUGGGUGAAAUUUAUUUUAGUGUUAGAGGAUAUUAUAUGAUUCCUAUAUAAUAGGGGAUAGUUAAUAAUAUCCCGUAAACUAUAUUUGAGAAGUGAUUUUUUUAAAUUUGUUUAGGUGUCAUCUUCAUAGACAAUUUCACCAGAAAAUCAUGACAUGGUACAAUUAGAUAUAUGAUAUGGCUUAUAAAAAAGAUGACAUGGCUAAUCAAUACCAUUAAAACAGGAUCAUUCACAAAUUAUAUCCUUAAUGAAAAUUGCAUUUUUCUCAAAAAUACCCUUAUUUUUACAAAGGAUUAUUAAAAUUCAUUAAUGGCAUUUAAGUCUUUUGGUUUUGGGCCUACAUAUACACCACAAAUUAUGGGCCUAUAUAUAUAUUUAAAAGAUAUACUAACUUUAAAUUUAAUAUAAGUAUAAAUAUAUUAUGUACUAUAAAUAAAUUAACAACAUGAAAAUAUUAUUUUCUUAAAUAUACGUAUCAAUAUUCAAAAUAUAUCAUUUGAAUAUUAUACAGAUUUUCAAUACAAACCAAAAUCAUAUAUCCUACACCAUAUAUCAUAUACAUAUUUGAAUAUCAUUUUUCCAUAUAUAAUAUUAUUUAUACAUAAUAUUGAUAUGACAAUUACGAGUGUUCAACAAUAUUUUUAAAACUAUCUUAAAAUCAAAUUUUAAAUCUAAAAUAAAAACAAAAACAUAUAAUAGGUUAUUAAUAACGAAAAUAAACUAAUAUUGUCAUAUCAAUAGAUUUUUUAUAUUAUCAUUUUUUAUUUGGAUAAUAUAAUAACAUUUCCUCAAAUUCUAGAGAAUCACUAAUUUAUGUAAUAUUAAAAAAUAUAUGAUUAAUUUAAUCAUUUUAAAAAAAUACUAUCAUAUAUUUUGUGUUUAUAUAUAUAUAUAUAUAUAUGUAUAUAUAUAUGAGUCUUACACAAAACGUAUUACAUCGAUUUAGAAAAAGCUUCAUAACUUUACCUAGCUAAACUUAUUAUGUCGUCCCGUGAUAACAUCCAGCCGUCCACAUAUGUCUUCAAUUCAGAAAAAUGUAUUUCAUAAUCCUUCUUUCCGUUAGCUUUUUGUAUAUUUAGUUUGACCAUAUUUUGUUUUUUAUGCAGGAUCUGUACACAUGGAAGUAUGAGUCAUCUUCAAGGCAUAAGACUGUCAUGUAUUUGGUGAAUGGUGUAAGUGAUUUUUUUUUUUGUAACUUGAUGGUGUAAGUAAUUUUUCUUUGUUAUUUUACUGUAAUUUACUUUUCUGUACAUCUUUUCUUUUUUUGGUCAAACACUUUUUUGUACCUCUAAAAUCUAACCUAUUUGAUAAAAUAUGUUUCAGGCCUCCAACAAAAUUGAUGAUUUUCGCAAGACUUAAGUAGAUGUACUGUAUGAAUAUAACAUCAUGAUGACACUUACAGUUAGAGAAAAACAUUCAGUCAAAUUUCUUCAUGAGCAAGUUAAAUCCAAGUUUACGGUUUGAAUGGAAAAUAAUAAGUUAAGUCAUGAAAGUGUAAAACUCAAGUCUUCGGAUUGAUGUGCCAAGAAUAUUUUUUUGUGAGAUCCGAAAACUAAAGCGUGGAAACCAGAAUUUGAGAUAUGAAGAAUAUUGUCAAUUGUAUGCUUUUGUUGCUUUCUUUAUUCAGUUCUUUUAGCAUCUGUUUUAAAUAUAGAAUCUUUAAAAAAAUGCACCACGUAACAAUUCAUUGUUUCUACCAUUUUCUUUAUUGCAAAUUGAUACCAUGUUUACAAAUCAUGACGUAAGUAAUCUAUGAAUAUAUUAUUUGCAAGACAAUUUGCCUUUCCUACAAGAUAUGUCCAUAUUUUUCUCAUUAAUGAUUGACAAUGAAUGGAAUGAAAUAAUUAUUAACAAUAUAUUUUGUUUUCACGUACCAAUUAUUAAAUAGACAACUUAAUAUAUGAAUAUUAAUGAGUUUUCAUAAUAUCAAGUAACAUAUAUUUCGGAUUGCAUAGACUAAAGAUAGAUUGUCUUUUCAAAAACAUUCGUUAUAUUGUAGUGAUAAAUGAAGGAAAUCAAUAUGGAAAAUAUAUGAUUCAUGUAUUCAAUGACGUGAAUGAAUAUCAACUAUGUUAUAUAUAUAUGUAUGUAUAUAUUAUUCACAAUAUGUUAGUUGACAAAAUUUUAACUUUGCAAUCAUUUUUAACAAAGCUUUAUGCCAUGUCUGACACACCUAAAAAUUUAACCAAAAGAAAUUGAAAAAAAAAAUCUAAAAUUGUGAUUUUAAAUAUAUACAUAUAUAUUUUUAAAUAUAAUUUAAAAUAAAAAAAUAUUUUUUCUAUAUUUUAUGCUUAAUUUAAGCAAAUUUAUAUUAAAUAUUGGUCAACAUAGUAAAAUAUAUAAUGUUAAUAAAUUUUAUUUUUAAAUAUAAUUUAAAUUUUAAUAACAUGAUACAGGAAAACACCUAGUUUAGUUGUAUACAAUAGGUUGAACUAAAAUAUAAAUAAGUGCAACAAUCUUUUGUAAGUAGAUUUGUUAGGACUUCUUCUCUUUUAAUAGUAUUGAUAUUUUUAUGUUUUAUUUAGACGUAAUAUAAAACGCGGUGUAUUGUAUAAUUUUUAUUCACUGCUUCAGUAUCUGAGAAUGGGUCUCCACCAAAAGUAUUCACUGCUGCGGUUUAUCUACGUACAUGUUGACCGAUUAUAUACCUUUUCCAAAAAAGAAUCUUUACACAUAGUCUAUGAUUAUGAUAACUUGACAAACAUUUAUUUUCUUGACCUAACUUAAGACUAUGAGCAAUUGGUAGUAGGUCAUUAGCAGCGGGACCAUAUUAGUUUCUGCCUUUCUGGACGGUGGAAACUGAGAAUGAUAGCACUGACAUUGUGGCCACAGAUAUAAUUAUUGUACGAACGUAUAUCUACACCAAUUAUUCUCUACGGCUGAGUAACCUUAUCGCCAAAAUGACAAUAAAUAUCAAACAUUUGCCACCCCCAAAUUAUUGCGAUUCACUCUUCUCCUCAUCAUCUUCCAAUCAGGUACACUCUCUCAAACCAUUUUAUGUCGAAAAAAUAUCAAACCAUUUGCGACGCAUUUUCUAGUUUUCGUGAUUAUUCUGUAUAUCCAAUCAAAGAGAUGUAGGGUUUUGAUAUAAAACAAAUCAUUUUGUGGCUAUGUUUCCUAGAUAAUUUUUUUACCUUUUUUUUUUCUUUCUAUAACAAAUAGGGUUUAUUUGCCAAAUAACCAAAAAGGGUGUUGUGUUUUCAGGAGAUACCUGACGGAUUUAAAUGGCCAAGAUGGAACCGCUAGGUGGUAACAAAGGAGAAGGAUUCAACGAUGUUGGUUAUGAAGGUGUGAAGAAAAUAACUGUGGGAGCUGAAGACGUAAACAUAACUUAUAUCAAGAUCGAAUACGUAAAGAACGGAAAAGUCGAGAUCCGUGAGCAUGGAGCGGCUCAUGGGGAACUGAAAGAGGUAUAAAAUAAAUGUGUUGGUGACUUUUGUUAAAUACUGAUCAGUUUUUUCGUUACUAAUUCAUUUGUUCUAAUGAAAAAAUGAAAUAUAGUUUUCAGUGGAUUAUCCGAAAGAUAGUAUCACUGCCGUUGGUGGAACCUACAAGCAUAUUUACUCUUAUGAUACAACGCUUAUCACAUCGCUGUACUUCACAACCUCUAAAGGAUUUACCUCGCCGUUAUUCGGUGAGAUGAAGGGAACAGAAUUCGAGUUCAAAGGUGAACAUGGAGAAAAGCUUAUUGGAUUUCAUGGACGUAGUAGUAAUGCUAUUGAUGCCAUUGGAGCUUACUUUAGUACUGGCGACAACUCAAACAGUGGAAGCGGAUCUAACAGUGAAUUUAGUACUCAAAAACUUGAUGCACAAGGUGGCAAGGGAGGAAAUCAAUGGGAUGACGGAGGCGAUCACGACGGAGUGACAAAGAUACACGUUGCCGUUGGCCGAGGCAUUGAGCAAAUCAGGUUUGAUUAUCUCAAGAACAGACAAACAAAUGAAGGACCUGCCCAUGGUGUGAAGGGGGGCAGAUCUUCCAUUAGAACGGUGUGUAUUAUGUGUUUCUAAUUUUUUCUUCUCAAAGAAUGUUUCUAUCAAAAUAUGUUAUCAUGAGAUUACUGAAAUUUUUCAUGUGGGAUUUCUCAUGAUUAUGCAGUUUGAGAUAAGUCGUCCCAACGAAUAUCUACUUUCUGUGAAGGGUUGGUCUGAUUCAACCAACAAGAUUGUGGGCAUUAAAUUCAUAACCAACACAAAUACUUCAGAGUGUUAUGGAUUUGAAAAAACUCCUGGAGAAGAAGGUACAGAUAUUUCACUUGAAGUAAAAGACAAGAAGAUUGUCGGUUUUCAUGGAUUCGCUGACUCCCAAGUCAAUUCUCUUGGUGCUUAUUUCGCUCCAGUCGCCAGCUGAAAACUUUGUUGGGUUCAUUUCUUGAUUUCCCUAUGAAUAAGGCUACAUCAGAGCCAUACCUGUGGAUAUCCGGAUGGGCUAUGUCUUAUGUUUUGUGUUUCAGUGCGAUGUUUGUGUUGUCACUUGUGGUUUUUUUUAUAAAGGAUGUCUAUGUUUAUUUUCAUUUGGAUCUGUUUUUAUUUGAAUCUUGUAACUAAAUUUGAUUUUCACUUGAAGUCUAUUAGCCCUAAUUUUUUUUUCACUUGAAGUCUACUACCUUUAAUUUUUAAACAGGAACACAACUAAAAGAGCUAAACAAGAACUAAACAAGAUACUUUACGUACCAGCGAGAGAAACGACCAGCAGAAGAAACAAAGCAAGCAAUGUGUAACCAAAACCGUAAGAAUUUUUUACAUUUAGAGACACUUUCUCACUUUCUAAUUAUAUUACAAGACACUUCACACUUGAGACACACUUUUUUUCUUGUGAAAAUGACUCAUAUAACCUCUUUCUUUCUUAUGUAUCACACUAAUCUUUCUCCUCUUCUUAUUCUACUUUAUUGUUUUUCUCAUUUCACUUUAUGAUUUCAUUUAUCUCAAAUUCUAAAAUAUAUUAAACAAAAAUAAUUGUUACAAUAAAUUAUAUAUAAAAUUAUCUAUCUUUUAAGAUCCAUUUUCAUAUAUAUAUAUAUUAUAUAUAUAUUAACAAAUUUGAAUGUGAAUGUGGAUGUGGAUACCAGAGCGUAAAUAAUAUAAUUAUAAAUUAGUUGUGGACGUAGAACAUUUUUAACACGAAGGCUGUUGGUUGAUACCUUUAAAAAUUUUCUUUUGAUGAGAGUUAUCUACUAUAAAACACAUUAACAUCAUAUGCCCACACAUUAACAUCGUUUGUCCACACAUUAACAUCGUCUGUCCACAUAUAAUCACUCAUCCACACAUCACUCAUCCAUGUAUACUCCGUCCAUAAAUCACGCAUCCACGCAUCACCCGUCCACAAUUGUCGUUUCUAUUAAGGGUGGUAAAAUUGUCCACUAUCUAUCACUGGCCCACAAUAAAGUGUGUCACAUGUAUGAAGUGUCUCUAGGUGUAAGAGAAAGUGAAAAAAGUGUCUCUAAGUGUAAUCAACUCCCGAAACUGUACAUUAAAAGAGAGUAGCGUUCGUUUACAUGCAAGUUAGAUAUUCGUUCAGAGCUGACUAGCUGAGCGAUUAAAAAGCUUACAUGUAAGUUUAAAAAUUAAAUCUAAUUCUUUACAUGCAAGUUAGAUCUUCGUUCAAAGCUGACUAUCUGAGUGAUUUUAGUAAAACUUAAAAAAUGAAAAAUGAAAUCUAUAGGUGAUUUGGUAAUGAUAUUUUCUAAAAAUUUCAAAUGAUAAUAUUUGUUUGUCUACACUUUUUUGCUUAUGGGUCUCUUUACCAAUUCAUUUGUUUUUUUAUCACACAUGUUUUGUAACGAUACGCUCAUUACUAAUAACUACUAUCAAGAGGCUUGAAAAAAGAGUAGACGUGCAACCAAGAAUCAUACUCUAGAGGUCAAUCGAUGGCGGCGAUAGUUUGGAGAUCAUUCAAAAAAAGCGAGCAGGAAAGUAUGAUGUUCGUGAUGCAGCCAGAAAGCUGCUCUACGGUUAGUUUUCUUUUGCCAAAACAUUUAACUGUGUCCAUCUUUUGAGACAUGACUCUAAAAAGGAGUUUUGGUGAUUCUUUUCAGGAUAGUACAGAAAUAAUCAAGAAAACCAUAAACGAGAAUAAGGCAAAGAAAGUCGAGUUUGCUUUCAAGAAACAAAAGUCUCAAGCGAAAGGUAUAUUCUGCAGAAAGUGAUGUUCGUUUUUCCUAUGAUUUUGUACUUGUUACAACAGCAAGUUUCUCUUACGUUGACCAAAUUGUAAGUCAGCUAGAAUCACUGCAACCUUGUAUCUUACCAGUGUAACCAACACACGAACAACAUUUUCGUCUGAACAAGAAGAUUCAAAUCAUUCACGGCAGCCAUAGUACUUCACAAGACUCCUAGAACUUGAUGCAUAAGAACAUUACAAGUGAAAAAACUAUUGAGAAGAUUGAUGAUGAAUUGAUGAUGAGCUUAAAUCAUUAUGAUAAUUCACCAGAGAGAAAAUAGAUUGUAAACAUCUAAUAUUGUUAGAAGAAUACACUGAGAGAUAGACAUAUUUUUUCUUGAAAGCUAGAGACAGAGAUUUGUUAACCUAGAUUUUUUGAGAAGACAAGAAACUGAAGAAUGCAUGUAAAGAUGGUUAGAACAACCUUAUUAUUGGUAGUCCUAACAUUGGUCCUUAGUGUUUUUAGUAUAGGGCCCACUACUUUUUUGCUAGAAACUUUGCUCAAAUGUCUCUAAUUAAGUAACGGCCCAAGGGUUGUCCAACACUGUUUGCAGACCCCACUGACACGUGGCGACCCGCAAUUGGUUCAUAUUUAUUAUUAUUAUUUUUUAAUAAGAAAAAAAAAAAUUUAAGGACCAAAAAAUGUCCCAGCCGAUAAUCAUGCUCUUAGAAUAAUAAAUUUUCUCUGUUUAUUAACGUGAGAGAGAGAAAAAAAAUAAGAGGAGAAGACGAUGAAGAAACUCAGAGAAUAAACAUGAAUUUCAAACACAAGAGCACUAUGAUCGUCUUCUUCCACUCUUGCUAUAAUUUCUCUAUCCAUUUUCUGGAAUCUUCUUUUACUAUACUCUCGAUCGCCAUUACUCAGCCUCCUGCUUCACUAUGUCUGCAAUUGAGAAAAAAAUAGGGGUGUUAUUUGUGGAUGUAUUUUAAUAGAAUUUAAAUCUAAACAGAAUGAUGAUUUUAAAUUUUAUUUUAAUAUCUGGUGUUAUUCAAUGAAUUAUUUAAAUUCAGUUUUUUUAAAAUCUAGUGUUACUCAAUUUUUAAAGUUUGUAAAAUUCUUCGUAUUUUCAAUUGAUUUCAAAUCAUCUCUCAUGAAGUCGCAUGAAUAAAUGAGUGAACUCAAAAUCCAAUGCCUACUGCAUAGAUUUUAAAAUUCUUGAACUUUAAACAAUUUAAAAUUUUAAAAUUUGAUGGAUUGCAAAUCACUGAUCGAAUAACACCACCUAAGACACUAAUUUUCAGAAUUUGUUAUUGUUAUUUAUUUUAAAGGUAUCUUCAAAUAACAUCUACAAAGACAUUAUUUCAAGAGGACUAUUUUUAACCGGAAGUGAAAGCCAAGUCUCUUAAAAUUUCUACAAUAAUUAUUUUUCCUAAAUAUUGUUUACACUUGAAUAACAAUGAAUUUGAUAUAUUUUUUAUAAAUUAUUAAUUAAAUAACAGAAGAUUGCAAGUGAGUUUAAGUGAUUUUGCACAAAUCCCAAAUUGAAUAACACUUGAUUUGAAAAGAAAUUUAAAAUCACUGACUAAAUAACAUAGGGUAUUAAUGAAAUCUCAAAAUCUCUUAGAGCAUGUUUAUUGGUAAAACCCACUUAAGGGUCCUUAGUAAAUUUUUAACUCUUAAAAGAGAGAUAAGAAACAUUGUUAUGACUGGCGUAGUAUUGUAUCUGGUAGAUCGUUAGCAAAGGACUAAUCAAAAGGGUGGGGUCAGGAUCAUCUAUCUCAGUAGGGAAUGAUCCUUGGCUCUCAUCUACUCGCCCGAGACCAGCAAAUAAAAAUCAACACAACCUUUACCCAGACCUUACAGUGGAUUCUCUCAUUGAUGUAACAUCUAGAACAUGGAAUUCACAGGCUAUUCAGACUCUAGUGGACCCGCAAGAUGCAAAAAUUAUUGAAAGUAUUCCUUUAAGUCGAAUUCAGACAGUAGAUCGGGAUGGAUGGCAUUUUACAAAAAGUCGAAUAUAUACAGUUAAAUCUAGAUAUCAAGUAGAGCGGGUGUAUCCUGAUAGUGGGCGAACAUUACCAGAGUAUGGUCCUUUGGUUUUGCCCUUGAAGGCGCAUUGUUGGAAGAUACGAUGUCCACCCAAGACAGAAUAUUUUCUAUGGCAACUGGUAACAUGAUGUAUAGCGAUGAAGAAAAAUUUACGCUCACGAGGAAUCCAUGAGGACACAACUUGCGCACAGUGUGGAGCACAAGAAGAGUUCAUAAAUCAUGUGUUUUUUGAAUGUCCACUAGAAAUUCAGGUUUGGGCACUUUCACGAAUUCCGUUGAAUCCGAACUUUUUUCCCCCACAAUUCCUAUUUGCAAAUAUGGACCAUUUAUUUUGGAGGGUUACCCCGGAAAUGGAGGAUCAUCAAUUUGCAUGGAUCUUAUGGUAUAUAUAGAAAGGAAGAAACAAUAAAAUUUUCAGUAAUCUGGAUAUUGAUCCGUGUGAAACAGAAACAGAGUUGAUACUCUGGGCUGAGGUACAAAUUACAAUAACACAGAGAACUGACCAAGCUCGGACUGCAACGGACGUGAUAGUACCAUCUAUCCCAGGUAGAUGGUGUUUCACGGAUGGAUCUUGGAAAGACGGGGAAAUAUUUUUGGGACAAAGGUGGUAUAGUACGCUAGAAGGUUUUGAUGGUCUAAUGGGAGUAAGAAAUACAAGAGCAGGUCAAUCACCUCUUCAUUCAGAGAUAGAAGCUUUUAUUUGGGCUAUGAAAUGUAUGAGGAAUCUAAGACAGUUAAACGUCACAUUUGCAACAGAUUAUUCUCAAUUGGUGAAGAUGGUUUCUAAAUCUGAAGAGUGGCCAGUCUUUACAAGUUAUUUGGAAGAUAUAAAGUUAUUGAAGAGAAGUUUCAACAGUUCAUAGCUCAUUCAUAUACCACAGACGCAAAAUUAAAGAACGGACAGUCUAGCACGCAAUGCAAGAAAUCAACCGUCUUUUGUUGUCCAUAUGGACGCGGAGCUACCAGUUUGGUUUACAGAGUCUAUAUGAAUUUGUUUGUUGCUGACAAAAAAAAAGAAACAUUGCUAAGAGACACUUAAUUUUAGUGGUUUAAUGGUAGUUUCUUAAUAAAGGUUCUUAACAAAAAAAAUAUUAAAUUUAUUUUUAAACAUAAAAUUUUAAACAAAGAUUAAAUUUAUUUAUUAAAUAAAACAAAGUCAAACAUAACAUCUUAAACAUAGAUUUUAAAAUGAAAACAUAAAUACAAAGAUUACUAAAAUAAAUGAUAAUAAUUUCAAAAAGGCAUUCAAGCUCAGUUGUUGUCUUCAUCACGUCCAAAUUUACGCCAUAUAUGUUCAACCAAAUCACCUUUCAGUUGUUGAUGUGCUUGUCUAUCACGAAUUAUUGUUUGAACACCCAUCAGAUUGGCGAUAUUUGUAGGGAUAUAUGUCGAAUAGGUGAGAUCGACAUGUGAACUUCCGCUGUCAUCUCCUUGUUGGAAAUCCGAAACAUCAUAUUGAGUGUAUUCAUCUUGUUCGUCUUCUACUAUCAUAUUAUGGAGUAUGAUACAUGCUCUCAUAAUCUUCCCAAUCUAGACUUUACCCCAAGAAAGUGAGUUUUAAUAAUGGCAAAUCGAGCUUGCAAGACUCUGAAAGCACGCUCCACAUCUUUUCGGGAAGCUUCUUGACGUUGAAAAAAUAAAACUGCUUUCGGCCCUUGUGGAAUCGGAAUAUAUUGGAUAAAAGUUGCUCAUUUCGGAUAAAUACCAUCAGUGAGAUAGUAAGCCAAAUUAUACUCUCUUCCGUUGACCGAGAAAUUCAUUUGCAGAGCUUGACCAUUUAUUAUGUCAUGAAAAACAGGUGAGCGAUCAAAAGCAUUGAUAUCAUUUAAGGUACCCGGAUGUCCGAAAACGCAUGCCAUAUCCAGAGAUCAUAUGAAGCAACCGCCUCUAAAACGAUUGUGGGUUUUCUCGAACAACGAGAAUAUUGCCCUUUCCAAGCGGUGGGACAAUUCUUCCACUUCCAAUACAUACAAUCGAUGCUCCUAUCAUCCCGGGAAUUCCACGAAGCUCUCCAAUAUGAAGUAGACGUUGAAGAUCAGCCGGUGUUGGUCUUCUUACGUAUUCAUCGCCGAACAAAUUUAUGAUUGCUUCCACAAAAUUUUCCACACAUAACUGAGCAGUGGUUGCACCGAACCUGAGGUAUUCGUCGACCGCAUCAAGUACAAAACCAUAUGCCAACACACGGAUAGCUGUUGUACACUUUUGAAGUGUAGAGAGACCAAGCCUUCCGAUACCGUCCUUCUUUUGACAAAAGAACUGAACUAUUGGAGAGGCGAUCAACAAUAUGCAUGAACAAUGGCUUGUUCAUUCUAAAUUGUCGUCAGAAUAGAUUUUCGGGAUAUGUUGGAGUGUCACUGAAAUAAUCAUUCCAUAACCGGAGAUGGCCUUUUUCACGAUUUCUUUCGAUAAAAAUUCUUUUUUUCUUUGUCUUCCUUUCAUCUUCUUGAUCACCAUAAACAUUGCACAAAUUCUCAAAAGUUUGAUUGAAAGUUUGAUCAAAAUAUUGAUCGAAAGUUUCAUCAAUAUUACCCUCGAAAGUGUUGUGAGAAGAUGAUGCCAUGACAGGUUUGUUUGAGAUUCUUGUGUCAGAUUAUAUAUUGUUUCACAUUUAGAAAGAGAAUGUAGAGUUGUGUGAAUUGUUGUGGGAAAGAAAAUAAUAGAGAAAGAGAAUGGAGAGUUGUGUGAAUUGUUGUGGAGAGACGUAUGAAUUGUUGCGAGAAAGAGAAUAAUAGAGAAAGAGAAUGGAGAAAAGUGUGAAAUGUUGUGAGAUAGAGAAAGUACAUUAAACACAGAAACAAAGAAACUUAAACAGUUAGACUUAUACUUAUAUAAAUUAGCUAGACAGAAAGUCAUUGAAUAGCUUCUGCUUGAGUGCUUCUUCAUAGUCAACAAGAGGUUCUUUUUCGCAAUCAGACUGUCAAGAAGAUUCAUCUUCGACAACCUUUCCUUCAUUGUCAAAUUUUGUUGUUUAAUAGACCACAUACUUUCAAACUCAUUCAGUGCAUUCUCCUCUGCCAAUGUCUUCUUACCGCGAGCCUUUGCGGCCUUAACACCCGGCGGACGCUUGUUCUCAGUAGCUUGAGAGCCUGACGAAGCAGCACCGUCAUCACACUUCAUCUUCUUAGAGAUCCCAUCGUUUUUAGCAGUAGCAAGGUCGCACCACUUCUGGUCGUCCCGGAGCUCCUUCCAAACGCGUUCCAGUGUGAAUUUCUUUUUAUGGUUAUUGUAGGAAAUUUGAUGAGCUAGUUUCAGAACGUCAUUAUCGUUUUGACCGCUACUCUUCUCUCUGCUUGCAUCUUCAAAGGCUCAACAAAACUUGCAAACAAGAUCAUUGAUCUUGUACCAUCGUUGCUUGCAAUGACUAGGCUCUCUCUGCUCGCAGCCAGCUACUGGAGGUCUUGCCGCAAAGUACGCUGCUACUCUUGUCCAGAAAGCGCCUGAUUUUUUCUCGUUGUUGACGACUGGAUUUUUGCUCGUGUUUAACCACGAGCUGAUGAGGAGAAUAUCAUUCGUUGGCGUCCACUUCCGUCGUUCUCUAUGCUCCAUAGCAGUCUCUCCACCAUCUUCGGUUCCUAGCGUGCUUUGAAACAAAGGUUGUGAUGAAGAUAGUGAGGCACUAUCUUCAUAGUUACCGAACGAAAUGCUUUGUUGACUAUGAAGUAGUUCAACAUAUUUUUAACUCUGGGUAGAUGGAUAAGAAUCCAUAUCCGAAGUAAGCUCAAGGAAGAGAGAAAAAAAGAAGAAAGUGGGAAGAGAAUCACACGGUUUGAACAAGGAAGAGAUAAAGAAAAGAAGUGAGGUGAGAAAGUAGGAAGAGAAGAGACACGAUUUAUGUAAGGAAGGGAAGGAUCAAUGCAUUGAUCACAACCACCCAUAACCGAGUAGACAUAUAUCUAAAAGCAUUCAUCACACAACCCCCUUCUACACAGAACACCAAAUCAAUUUAUUACCUAAACCUACCAUUAUCUCACACAAACCACUUAAACAUCUAUUUAAUACCUAACCUAACACAAAACUACAAUUCAAUUCUAUCCAGACAUGAGUAAAAAUCAACAACAAUCAUACCAUAUUUCACAAACCACCAACCAAUAUAUUUAUCAUGAUUAAUCCUAUUUAACAUAGCAAAGAAAAAGGUUUAAUCCAAUUCAAAAUUCAUUUCAAACAACCAUUAAAAUAAAAAACAAUCGCAUCAUAACUCACAAACCAACAACAAAUUUAAGCAAUGGUUUAUCUAAUUCAACAGAGCCAAGAGAAAGUUUAAUCCAAUUCAAAUGAUCAAAGAGAAAGGUUUUACCUUUAUGAACAAGAAGUGUGGAGUUUUGUCUGACAAAGAGAAAGGUUUAUCCUUGAUCGCGCCUCUUUCUCAAUCACUCGCAAGACACAAAAACAGAAAAAAAAUAUCAAAACAAAUCAGAGGACUGGACUUCUUAAGAUUCACGAUGAAAGAGCACAAUCAAAGACAUGCAUAAUUGAAAUAUUCAAACAUUAAAACAUAUGAACUCAUCUUUACCUUUCGAAUCACUGUUUUCCUUCGUUUCCGAGAGCCUCCACGAGAGAGAUCUCGCUGUUAUCCUUCGUCGAGAAGAGCAACCGAUAGAGGGGACGCCGUUUUACUUCGAGAGACGCCGAUUCGUUGAGAAGAGCCACCGACCGGGAGAAAUAUCGCUAUUUUCGUUGCCAAGGAGACGAGAGAAGGAAGAGAGAAAGAAGGAAAAGAGAGAAAAAGACGAAACCGUGAGACACCACCUCUCUUCUCUCCAAUGCUUUUGUUUUGACUGCUUAAUUAAGUGAAGGGUCUUACCUUAAUGACCGUUUUGUUCUUUUUUUUAAAUGAUAAAAUCAAAUGUAAGCUAAGAUAAACGUGCUCUUAAAAUUCUUAUUCUGAUAUAGUCGGCUCCGUGAACUAAUUCAUCUGAUGGGCCAACCCCAUAUAAACAUUUGGGCCUAUGAUAAGCAAUACGUAAGCAGCAAAACUCUCUCACCUUCUCAAUUCAUCUCUUCCGUUCCCUUCCGAUUUAGGGUUUCCACAGUCGCCAUGUAUCGCACGGCAGCUUCACGAGCCAGGGCUCUCAAGGUUUGUUACCUAAGCCUUUCAUCGUUUCACGAUUGAUCUCGUUUUGUAUGCUUCUGGAACCUUCGCGUAGUGAAUAGAUUCGUCCUGAUUCGGAUUAUUCUUAUUCCGAUUGAAUUACCCGCGACGAUGGGACUGUUAUUACUGCUUAGGCUUACGAGUGAUCGAGUCUUUGUUUCGCAGUUUCUGAAGUCAAAUCUAACUAGAAAUGGAUUUGCCUCUAUCGUUUCAAAUGGAUCGUAUUCUUGUUUUGUGAUAGGGAUCUCUUAGCCGGAGUUUGAGACCGGCGCGUUAUGCAAGUUCAAGUGCCGUUGCGACUAGUUCUUCUUCUUCUUCUCCAGGUUUCUUCAGCUGGUUGACUGGUGGAUCAUCUUCUUCGCUUAAUUCAUUGGACAUGCCACUACAGGGUGUGUCUCUUCCUCCACCACUUGCUGACCUUGUUGAGCCAAGCAAACUUAAGAUCACUACUCUCCCAAAUGGUCUCAAAAUCGCCUCCGAGAUGUCUCCCGUAAGUAAAUCUUAUGUUUACUUCUCUGAAGAUAGAAUCUUUUAAAAUGCGGUAAAUGAACUGAACGAAGUUAUUAUCUUGGUGUGUUAGAAUCCAGCAGCUUCCAUUGGUUUGUAUGUUGAUUGUGGUUCUAUCUACGAAGCUCCUUAUUUCCAUGGAGCAACGCAUUUGCUUGAGAGGAUGGCUUUCAAGAGCACGAGAAACAGGAGCCAUCUACGUCUCGUGAGGGAGAUUGAGGCUAUUGGAGGCAACACCUCCGCAUCUGCGUCUCGGGAGCAGAUGAGUUACACUAUUGAUGCUCUUAAGACCUAUGUCCCUGAAAUGGUUGAAGUUCUUAUUGACAGUGUGAGGAACCCUGCUUUCUUGGAUUGGGAAGUCAACGAAGAGGUGAUUCUCUUUUUUUCUCCUUUGUGGUUAUUUUAGUAACUCUUGUGAAAUUAUUUAUGUGACGUAUUGUCUUGUGGUUAUUUGGCAGCUACGUAAGAUGAAGCUAGAGAUAGCGGAACUUGCAAAGAACCCUAUGGGCCUUCUCAUGGAGGCCGUUCACUCUGCUGGUUAUUCCGGUGCAUUGGCGAAUCCUCUCUACGCACCUGAGUCUGCUUUGGACAGAUUGAAUGGGGAACUCUUGGAGGAGUUUAUGGCUGUAAGACCGCAUCAGCUUUUGAGAAUCUAUGUGAUUAAUGUCCUUAUUUGCUUACUCAUUUGAUAUGGGAAUUUCAGGAGAAUUUCACUGCUGCACGUAUGGUGCUGGCGGCAAGUGGAGUUGAACACGAGGAACUUUUAAAAGUUGUUGAGCCGUUGACUUCAGACCUUCCUAAUGUACCGCGCCAGGCGGAACCAAAAUCUCAGUAUACUGGUGGAGAUUUCCGCCAACAUACUGGUGGAGAGGUAAUCAUGACAGAUUUGCUUUCAUUGAACAAGUGUGUUUGAGAUGAAAGUGUAUUUAUGUCACAAUACUACGUGAGCUUAUUCUGUUCUGUCAUCUUCAGGCUACGCACUUUGCUCUCGCCUUUGAGGUUCCUGGCUGGAAUAACGAGAAAGAAGCAGUCAUCGCCACUGUUCUCCAGGUUUAACUUGAAUAUUUAAUGUUUGCUUGUGUCAAAAAUAUUUACUUGUUUUAAUCAAAUUCUAUUGACUGAAUAUAAUUUAAUUCGAAUUGCUAUUAGAUGCUUAUGGGAGGAGGUGGGUCGUUCUCUGCUGGAGGCCCUGGAAAAGGAAUGCACUCAUGGCUAUGUAAGUCAAUUCUUGUGUUUAUAUCGCUUUCUUGAGCUUUCUGUUUUCACGUUUGUUGAACUAGUUCAUUAGUUCUCAACCGAUCAGUAAUAGUGAUAAAAAUUCCUAUGUCUGUUUUUACAGAUCUCCGUAUUCUUAACGAAUACCAGCAAGUGCAGUCAUGCACUGCUUUCAGUAGCAUCUUUAACAACACCGGGUUGUUUGGAAUCUAUGGUUGCUCGGUUAGUUUAAGCAAUCCUGAUCUAUGCUCUUCCUUAUAAAUCAACUAUCCACUUAAUCUCAUUGAUUAUAGUUGUAAUUUGUGUGGGUAUUAAUACCUUCAACUUUAAGGAAUAUCGAUUUUGUGGGGGUAUUAGGCUAUGUCUUGUUUGUGUGACUUGACGACUUCUUUGCUUCAUAUGUGUUCUAGUACAUAUUUUGAUACGAUUUACAUCCAUGAGUGCAGAGUCCCGAGUUCGCUGCAAAAGCAAUUGAAUUAGCAGCUAAAGAAAUGAAAGAUGUUGCCGGAGGAAAAGGUUUGCAGUUUGUUUCUUCUGUUUUCUCCUAUUAUAAUCUUAACAAGUCGAAGCCGUUGUUUACAUCUGUUUAUUUGUUUGGACAGUUAAUCAGAAGCAUCUUGAUCGCGCCAAGGCAGCCACAAAAUCUGCAGUUCUGAUGAAUUUGGAAUCACGGGUAUUCUCACUACGAUCAAACCGUUUUGCUUGAAAAGCAUGUUUGUACGAUUCGAACCGAUUAGAUUUUACUAACGAGUUAAUGUAUGUCCUAUGCAGAUGAUUGCAGCAGAAGACAUUGGCAGGCAAAUUCUUACAUACGGAGAGAGGUACACGCAAAUGUCUUUUAGAAAAGAAAAAAAAUUAAAAACAGCGUAGUAUUCUUCUUGCGCAUACCCGUGUGUUUAUAAAUGAAUAAAUAUUGCAGGAAACCAGUUGAGCAAUUCCUGAAGACAGUUGAUGGACUAACCUUGAAGGACAUUACAGAUUUCACCAGCAAGAUUAUCUCAAAGCCUUUGACAAUGGGUUCCUUCGGAGAUGGUAAACAAGUUUUCACUCUUUUCUUACUAGUUUUAUAUACGUUUUUAAUGUCAAAAAAGUCAAGAUUUUGUGUUCUUUCUUUUGGCAGUGUUGUCUGUUCCUAGCUACGACACCAUAAGCAGCAAGUUUUCUUGAAGCAGCAAACAAGUUGCGAGAAAAUCAACAUUACUUUGGGACAUGUAAAAUAAAGAAGGAUGUUUGGGAAAAGAAGACUGGACCAUUUAAAAUUUCUAUUUCUUACGAAAUGGAUUUUGUUUCCAUCUACAGUUGAAAUGGCUGGCAUUUUUCCUGUCCGUCUCUCCAACUUUCAAGAAUUAUUUGUAUUCCAAUAAUUAUUUUUUCACAACUUCAUGCAGUUAUGCUACUUACUGUAUGUCAUUUUUCACAAUUUGUUUUACUUGGUUGAACAUGAAACAGAUAUCUUUUGGACAUGGUAGCUCGUGUGUAAUUUGACAAGUAGUAGCCGACGGUAACGACGAAAAUUUGUUUAUGGAACUGCAGUUAUCGACCGUCGAAUGAUGAUCUGCAACUCUAUGACUACAUUUAAUAGGGCACAACUCUAACCCUCAUCUCUAAAGGAAGAAUCAAAUGCUGAAAAGUGAAAACACUUCUCUUCUUGUCUCGAUUUUCAAGUUUAUUGUUCGUUUUAUCAAACUUGUAAUAUGUCAUUUUAAAAAUAGGGAGAAUUUGUGAAAUAACCAAGAAAAAAACCAAAAUUAGAUUUUUAGAGAGAGGGAUGAGAGAGAUAGGAAGGGAAAGGAAGAGAGAGAAGAAGAUUUUGGUUACUUAGCUAAUUUGAGUUUUUUGUUUGGUUAUGGGAUGCAAUUUCCCUUAAAAAUAUCUAGUGGAAGGAUCACACUUAGAAGCGUUUCAGUAUUUAAUUCAGCUAUAUACAACAUAGAUGGAUUUGUUUGAUAAACUUCAAGACAUGAUCUGGUAGAGACACUCGUAAGCUACACAGCGUACACUGAUGUGGUCGAUUAAGGAGAGAUUAAUAAUCUUCACAAAUGUUAAUAAGUGGACCGUAGCAAUUAUAGGCCCAUUUAUCCCAACUUAGGCCCAUUUAAAUUAAAAACGGUCAUCUACAUCGACGCUUCCUACUCAAGAGAACUCGUUCCCUUCUCCGCCGCAAACAUGAGGCUUCUUCGCCGCCGUUUCUUUAUCUUCACCGAUGGAAUUUCCGGAGCCAACCGGCGAAGAUACGCAACCAAGUAUGUCGCCAAGGUCACUUCAUCAUCUCCCUCCGGCCGUUCUCUGUCCGCCGAAGUUUCCCUUCCUAAUCCCCUCCCCUCCGACGUACGCGGCUACGCUCUCCCUCGGCGUCACCUCAUCUGCCGAGCAACCAAUCUCCUUCUCCGCCACGAAACCUCUUCAAUAGAGAAAGAGAAUGGAGAGUUGUGUGAAUUGUUGUGGAGAGACGUAUGAAUUGUUGCGAGAAAGAGAAUAAUAGAGAAAGAGAAUGGAGAAAAGUGUGAAAUGUUGUGAGAUAGAGAAAGUACAUUAAACACAGAAACAAAGAAACUUAAACAGUUAGACUUAUACUUAUAUAAAUUAGCUAGACAGAAAGUCAUUGAAUAGCUUCUGCUUGAGUGCUUCUUCAUAGUCAACAAGAGGUUCUUUUUCGCAAUCAGACUGUCAAGAAGAUUCAUCUUCGACAACCUUUCCUUCAUUGUCAAAUUUUGUUGUUUAAUAGACCACAUACUUUCAAACUCAUUCAGUGCAUUCUCCUCUGCCAAUGUCUUCUUACCGCGAGCCUUUGCGGCCUUAACACCCGGCGGACGCUUGUUCUCAGUAGCUUGAGAGCCUGACGAAGCAGCACCGUCAUCACACUUCAUCUUCUUAGAGAUCCCAUCGUUUUUAGCAGUAGCAAGGUCGCACCACUUCUGGUCGUCCCGGAGCUCCUUCCAAACGCGUUCCAGUGUGAAUUUCUUUUUAUGGUUAUUGUAGGAAAUUUGAUGAGCUAGUUUCAGAACGUCAUUAUCGUUUUGACCGCUACUCUUCUCUCUGCUUGCAUCUUCAAAGGCUCAACAAAACUUGCAAACAAGAUCAUUGAUCUUGUACCAUCGUUGCUUGCAAUGACUAGGCUCUCUCUGCUCGCAGCCAGCUACUGGAGGUCUUGCCGCAAAGUACGCUGCUACUCUUGUCCAGAAAGCGCCUGAUUUUUUCUCGUUGUUGACGACUGGAUUUUUGCUCGUGUUUAACCACGAGCUGAUGAGGAGAAUAUCAUUCGUUGGCGUCCACUUCCGUCGUUCUCUAUGCUCCAUAGCAGUCUCUCCACCAUCUUCGGUUCCUAGCGUGCUUUGAAACAAAGGUUGUGAUGAAGAUAGUGAGGCACUAUCUUCAUAGUUACCGAACGAAAUGCUUUGUUGACUAUGAAGUAGUUCAACAUAUUUUUAACUCUGGGUAGAUGGAUAAGAAUCCAUAUCCGAAGUAAGCUCAAGGAAGAGAGAAAAAAAGAAGAAAGUGGGAAGAGAAUCACACGGUUUGAACAAGGAAGAGAUAAAGAAAAGAAGUGAGGUGAGAAAGUAGGAAGAGAAGAGACACGAUUUAUGUAAGGAAGGGAAGGAUCAAUGCAUUGAUCACAACCACCCAUAACCGAGUAGACAUAUAUCUAAAAGCAUUCAUCACACAACCCCCUUCUACACAGAACACCAAAUCAAUUUAUUACCUAAACCUACCAUUAUCUCACACAAACCACUUAAACAUCUAUUUAAUACCUAACCUAACACAAAACUACAAUUCAAUUCUAUCCAGACAUGAGUAAAAAUCAACAACAAUCAUACCAUAUUUCACAAACCACCAACCAAUAUAUUUAUCAUGAUUAAUCCUAUUUAACAUAGCAAAGAAAAAGGUUUAAUCCAAUUCAAAAUUCAUUUCAAACAACCAUUAAAAUAAAAAACAAUCGCAUCAUAACUCACAAACCAACAACAAAUUUAAGCAAUGGUUUAUCUAAUUCAACAGAGCCAAGAGAAAGUUUAAUCCAAUUCAAAUGAUCAAAGAGAAAGGUUUUACCUUUAUGAACAAGAAGUGUGGAGUUUUGUCUGACAAAGAGAAAGGUUUAUCCUUGAUCGUGCCUCUUUCUCAAUCACUCGCAAGACACAAAAACAGAAAAAAAAUAUCAAAACAAAUCAGAGGACUGGACUUCUUAAGAUUCACGAUGAAAGAGCACAAUCAAAGACAUGCAUAAUUGAAAUAUUCAAACAUUAAAACAUAUGAACUCAUCUUUACCUUUCGAAUCACUGUUUUCCUUCGUUUCCGAGAGCCUCCACGAGAGAGAUCUCGCUGUUAUCCUUCGUCGAGAAGAGCAACCGAUAGAGGGGACGCCGUUUUACUUCGAGAGACGCCGAUUCGUUGAGAAGAGCCACCGACCGGGAGAAAUAUCGCUAUUUUCGUUGCCAAGGAGACGAGAGAAGGAAGAGAGAAAGAAGGAAAAGAGAGAAAAAGACGAAACCGUGAGACACCACCUCUCUUCUCUCCAAUGCUUUUGUUUUGACUGCUUAAUUAAGUGAAGGGUCUUACCUUAAUGACCGUUUUGUUCUUUUUUUUAAAUGAUAAAAUCAAAUGUAAGCUAAGAUAAACGUGCUCUUAAAAUUCUUAUUCUGAUAUAGUCGGCUCCGUGAACUAAUUCAUCUGAUGGGCCAACCCCAUAUAAACAUUUGGGCCUAUGAUAAGCAAUACGUAAGCAGCAAAACUCGCAGUCUCUCUCACCUUCUCAAUUCAUCUCUUCCCUUCCCUUCCGAUUUAGGGUUUCCACAGUCGCCAUGUAUCGCACGGCAGCUUCACGAGCCAGGGCUCUCAAGGUUUGUUACCUUAGCCUUUGAUCGUUUCACGAUUGAUGUUCUCUUGUAAGCGUCUGGAACCUUCGCGUAGUGAAUAGAUUCGUCCUGAUUCGGAUUAUUCUUAUUCCGAUUGAAUUACCCGCGACGAUGGGACUGUUAUUACUGCUUAGGCUUACGAGUGAUCGAGUCUUUGUUUCGCAGUUUCUGAAGUCAAAUCUAACUAGAAAUGGAUUUGCCUCUAUCGUUUCAAAUGGAUCGUAUUCUUGUUUUGUGAUAGGGAUCUCUUAGCCGGAGUUUGAGACCGGCGCGUUAUGCAAGUUCAAGUGCCGUUGCGACUAGUUCUUCUUCUUCUUCUCCAGGUUUCUUCAGCUGGUUGACUGGUGGAUCAUCUUCUUCGCUUAAUUCAUUGGACAUGCCACUACAGGGUGUGUCUCUUCCUCCACCACUUGCUGACCUUGUUGAGCCAAGCAAACUUAAGAUCACUACUCUCCCAAAUGGUCUCAAAAUCGCCUCCGAGAUGUCUCCCGUAAGUAAAUCUUAUGUUUACUUCUCUGAAGAUAGAAUCUUUUAAAAUGCGGUAAAUGAACUGAACGAAGUUAUUAUCUUGGUGUGUUAGAAUCCAGCAGCUUCCAUUGGUUUGUAUGUUGAUUGUGGUUCUAUCUACGAAGCUCCUUAUUUCCAUGGAGCAACGCAUUUGCUUGAGAGGAUGGCUUUCAAGAGCACGAGAAACAGGAGCCAUCUACGUCUCGUGAGGGAGAUUGAGGCUAUUGGAGGCAACACCUCCGCAUCUGCGUCUCGGGAGCAGAUGAGUUACACUAUUGAUGCUCUUAAGACCUAUGUCCCUGAAAUGGUUGAAGUUCUUAUUGACAGUGUGAGGAACCCUGCUUUCUUGGAUUGGGAAGUCAACGAAGAGGUGAUUCUCUUUUUUUCUCCUUUGUGGUUAUUUUAGUAACUCUUGUGAAAUUAUUUAUGUGACGUAUUGUCUUGUGGUUAUUUGGCAGCUACGUAAGAUGAAGCUAGAGAUAGCGGAACUUGCAAAGAACCCUAUGGGCCUUCUCAUGGAGGCCGUUCACUCUGCUGGUUAUUCCGGUGCAUUGGCGAAUCCUCUCUACGCACCUGAGUCUGCUUUGGACAGAUUGAAUGGGGAACUCUUGGAGGAGUUUAUGGCUGUAAGACCGCAUCAGCUUUUGAGAAUCUAUGUGAUUAAUGUCCUUAUUUGCUUACUCAUUUGAUAUGGGAAUUUCAGGAGAAUUUCACUGCUGCACGUAUGGUGCUGGCGGCAAGUGGAGUUGAACACGAGGAACUUUUAAAAGUUGUUGAGCCGUUGACUUCAGACCUUCCUAAUGUACCGCGCCAGGCGGAACCAAAAUCUCAGUAUACUGGUGGAGAUUUCCGCCAACAUACUGGUGGAGAGGUAAUCAUGACAGAUUUGCUUUCAUUGAACAAGUGUGUUUGAGAUGAAAGUGUAUUUAUGUCACAAUACUACGUGAGCUUAUUCUGUUCUGUCAUCUUCAGGCUACGCACUUUGCUCUCGCCUUUGAGGUUCCUGGCUGGAAUAACGAGAAAGAAGCAGUCAUCGCCACUGUUCUCCAGGUUUAACUUGAAUAUUUAAUGUUUGCUUGUGUCAAAAAUAUUUACUUGUUUUAAUCAAAUUCUAUUGACUGAAUAUAAUUUAAUUCGAAUUGCUAUUAGAUGCUUAUGGGAGGAGGUGGGUCGUUCUCUGCUGGAGGCCCUGGAAAAGGAAUGCACUCAUGGCUAUGUAAGUCAAUUCUUGUGUUUAUAUCGCUUUCUUGAGCUUUCUGUUUUCACGUUUGUUGAACUAGUUCAUUAGUUCUCAACCGAUCAGUAAUAGUGAUAAAAAUUCCUAUGUCUGUUUUUACAGAUCUCCGUAUUCUUAACGAAUACCAGCAAGUGCAGUCAUGCACUGCUUUCAGUAGCAUCUUUAACAACACCGGGUUGUUUGGAAUCUAUGGUUGCUCGGUUAGUUUAAGCAAUCCUGAUCUAUGCUCUUCCUUAUAAAUCAACUAUCCACUUAAUCUCAUUGAUUAUAGUUGUAAUUUGUGUGGGUAUUAAUACCUUCAACUUUAAGGAAUAUCGAUUUUGUGGGGGUAUUAGGCUAUGUCUUGUUUGUGUGACUUGACGACUUCUUUGCUUCAUAUGUGUUCUAGUACAUAUUUUGAUACGAUUUACAUCCAUGAGUGCAGAGUCCCGAGUUCGCUGCAAAAGCAAUUGAAUUAGCAGCUAAAGAAAUGAAAGAUGUUGCCGGAGGAAAAGGUUUGCAGUUUGUUUCUUCUGUUUUCUCCUAUUAUAAUCUUAACAAGUCGAAGCCGUUGUUUACAUCUGUUUAUUUGUUUGGACAGUUAAUCAGAAGCAUCUUGAUCGCGCCAAGGCAGCCACAAAAUCUGCAGUUCUGAUGAAUUUGGAAUCACGGGUAUUCUCACUACGAUCAAACCGUUUUGCUUGAAAAGCAUGUUUGUACGAUUCGAACCGAUUAGAUUUUACUAACGAGUUAAUGUAUGUCCUAUGCAGAUGAUUGCAGCAGAAGACAUUGGCAGGCAGAUUCUUACAUACGGAGAGAGGUACACGCAAAUGUCUUUUAGAAAAGAAAAAAAAUUAAAAACAGCGUAGUAUUCUUCUUGCGCAUACCCGUGUGUUUAUAAAUGAAUAAAUAUUGCAGGAAACCAGUUGAGCAAUUCCUGAAGACAGUUGAUGGACUAACCUUGAAGGACAUUACAGAUUUCACCAGCAAGAUUAUCUCAAAGCCUUUGACAAUGGGUUCCUUCGGAGAUGGUAAACAAGUUUUCACUCUUUUCUUACUAGUUUUAUAUACGUUUUUAAUGUCAAAAAAGUCAAGAUUUUGUGUUCUUUCUUUUGGCAGUGUUGUCUGUUCCUAGCUACGACACCAUAAGCAGCAAGUUUUCUUGAAGCAGCAAACAAGUUGCGAGAAAAUCAACAUUACUUUGGGACAUGUAAAAUAAAGAAGGAUGUUUGGGAAAAGAAGACUGGACCAUUUAAAAUUUCUAUUUCUUACGAAAUGGAUUUUGUUUCCAUCUACAGUUGAAAUGGCUGGCAUUUUUCCUGUCCGUCUCUCCAACUUUCAAGAAUUAUUUGUAUUCCAAUAAUUAUUUUUUCACAACUUCAUGCAGUUAUGCUACUUACUGUAUGUCAUUUUUCACAAUUUGUUUUACUUGGUUGAACAUGAAACAGAUAUCUUUUGGACAUGGUAGCUCGUGUGUAAUUUGACAAGUAGUAGCCGACGGUAACGACGAAAAUUUGUUUAUGGAACUGCAGUUAUCGACCGUCGAAUGAUGAUCUGCAACUCUAUGACUACAUUUAAUAGGGCACAACUCUAACCCUCAUCUCUAAAGGAAGAAUCAAAUGCUGAAAAGUGAAAACACUUCUCUUCUUGUCUCGAUUUUCAAGUUUAUUGUUCGUUUUAUCAAACUUGUAAUAUGUCAUUUUAAAAAUAGGGAGAAUUUGUGAAAUAACCAAGAAAAAAACCAAAAUUAGAUUUUUAGAGAGAGGGAUGAGAGAGAUAGGAAGGGAAAGGAAGAGAGAGAAGAAGAUUUUGGUUACUUAGCUAAUUUGAGUUUUUUGUUUGGUUAUGGGAUGCAAUUUCCCUUAAAAAUAUCUAGUGGAAGGAUCACACUUAGAAGCGUUUCAGUAUUUAAUUCAGCUAUAUACAACAUAGAUGGAUUUGUUUGAUAAACUUCAAGACAUGAUCUGGUAGAGACACUCGUAAGCUACACAGCGUACACUGAUGUGGUCGAUUAAGGAGAGAUUAAUAAUCUUCACAAAUGUUAAUAAGUGGACCGUAGCAAUUAUAGGCCCAUUUAUCCCAACUUAGGCCCAUUUAAAUUAAAAACGGUCAUCUACAUCGACGCUUCCUACUCAAGAGAACUCGUUCCCUUCUCCGCCGCAAACAUGAGGCUUCUUCGCCGCCGUUUCUUUAUCUUCACCGAUGGAAUUUCCGGAGCCAACCGGCGAAGAUACGCAACCAAGUAUGUCGCCAAGGUCACUUCAUCAUCUCCCUCCGGCCGUUCUCUGUCCGCCGAAGUUUCCCUUCCUAAUCCCCUCCCCUCCGACGUACGCGGCUACGCUCUCCCUCGGCGUCACCUCAUCUGCCGAGCAACCAAUCUCCUUCUCCGCCACGAAAUUCCGAUCCCUUCUCCGAGCUCUCCGAUUACCUCUCUUCCCUCUCACUCUCCCUAACUCCCGACGAAGCUUCAGAGAUUCUCAAAUCCCUAAACUGCCCUCGCCUGGCCGUCGAUUUCUUCCACUUCGUCCCCUCCGUGUGCCCUAGCUCUCACCGCGACCCGUUCCUCUACAACCGCAUCAUCUUAAUCCUCUCCAAGUCUAAUCUCCCCGACAGAUUCGAUCGCGUCCGUUCGAUUCUCGAUCAGAUGGUGAAGUCUAACGUACGUGGCAACAUCUCCACCGUUAAUAUCUUAAUAGGUUUCUUGGGGAACACGGAAGAUUUAGAAAUGUGCUUAGGGCUGGUGAAGAAAUGGGAGUUAAAGAUGAACUCUUUCACUUACAAGUGUCUGCUUCAAGCUUACUUAAGGUCUCGUGAUUCUUCGAAAGCUUUCCAUGUGUACUGCGAGAUUAGAAGAGGAGGGCAUAAGCUCGACGUCUUCGCUUACAAUAUGUUGCUUGAUGCUUUAGCUAAAGAUGAUAAGGUACUUACUUCAUUAUUUCCUUCACACAAACUAAAGGUUGAGUUUCAUCUAGGCAUAGGCAUUCAGCUCCGUUGAAUUUUUAGGUUUUUUGGAUCUUUCGUUUAUAGAUAGAUAUAGGAACUGUUUGGGUUCUAUAAAAUUCGGUUUGGUUCUGGUAAAAAUAUUGGAACUGGCUAGUAACAUGGAAAUGUUCGAGAUUGAAUUGGUUUCAGCUUGUUGGGUAGUUUCCGAUAAUUGGAAGGAAAAUAUCGGUGAAGAAGAUGUUUUUAGGUAAAAUAUUGGGUAAUUCAGGAUGUUCAAAUUUUAUUAUUGGUUAAUUUCAUAUAAUUUGGAUAAAGUAAUUAGAUAAUUCGGGUUUUUGAACAAUUUUUGGUUUAUAAAUUAUAUUUUAGAUAUAAUUAUUUUGAACUAAAUAUAACUAAUAUUUUUUGGAUAUGAAUUGUAUUUUGGGUACCCAUUCGAUUUUUGGUUCCGUUCUGGUUCGGUUUUGGUUAAGAGAAAUAGGAACUAUUUGGGUUUUUUUUGUGAGUUUGGUCCGGUUUUGUUUUCGGGUUUGGGAUAGAUGGAAUGUGCUGGCCUAGUUUCGUGUAUAGAGAAAGAUGAAAAUGUACAUUCUUUGCUCAGAUUGAUCAAGCACGCCAAGUUUUCGAAGACAUGAAGAGAAAGCAUUGUAGAGGAGAUGAGUAUUCCUACACGAUUAUGAUCAGGACAAUGGGAAGGAUUGGGAAGUACAAUAAAGCUGUUGAUCUAUUCAAUGAGAUGAUAACUGAAGGGCUUACUCUUAACGUGGUUGGUUACAAUACUCUUAUGCAAGUUCUCGCAAAAGCAAAGAUGGUUGAUAAGGCUAUUCAGGUUUUCUCCAAGAUGGUUGAAACGGGUUGUCGUCCCAACGAGUAUACGUACAGUCUGGUUUUGAAUCUUUUGGUAGCUGAAGGUCAGCUUGUGAAGUUAGAUGGGAUUGUGGAGAUGUCCAAGAGGUAUAUGACUCAGGGGAUAUAUUCUUAUUUGGUUAGAACCCUGAGUAAACUAGGGCAUGUGAGUGAGGCUCACCGGCUGUUCUGUGAUAUGUGGAGCUUCCCUGUAAAAGGAGAGAGGGAUAGUUACAUGUCGAUGCUUGAGAGUUUGUGCGGUGCGGGUAAAACAGUUGAAGCUAUAGAGAUGUUGAGCAAGAUUCAUGAGAAAGGUGUGGUUACGGAUACCAUGAUGUACAACACUGUGUUCUCUGCCCUUGGGAAGCAAAAGCAAGUAUCUCAUAUUCAUGAUCUCUUUGAGAAAAUGAAAAAAGAUGGUCCUUGUCCAGACAUAUUCACAUACAACAUACUCAUCUCGAGUUUCGGUCGUGUAGAAGAAGUUGAUGAGGCUAUCAAAAUCUUCGAGGAGCUUGAGAGUAGUGACUGUAAACCGGACAUUGUUUCUUACAACUCUUUGAUUAAUUGUUUGGGGAAGAACGGUGAUGUCGAUGAAGCUCACGUGAGGUUCAAGGAGAUGCAGGAGAAAGGAUUGAACCCUGAUGUGGUCACAUACAGCACUCUGAUGGAAUGCUUUGGGAAGUCGGAGAGAGUCGAAAUGGCAUAUAGAUUGUUCGAAGAGAUGCUUGUUAAAGGGUGUCAGCCCAACAUUGUGACGUACAACAUUUUGCUUGAUUGUCUAGAGAAGAGUGGAAGAACCGCGGAAGCAGUUGAUAUGUAUACAAGGAUGAAACAGCAAGGACUCACACCUGAUUCCAUUACUUACAGUGUUCUUGAACGGUUGCAAUCUGGCUCUCAUGGAAAGUCGCGGAUUCGUAGGAAGAAUCCGAUAACUGGUUGGGUGGUCAGUCCUUUGUAGUCACGUGAAGUAGUGAAACAAGGUUUUGAGAAUGACACUUGGCUGGGGAAUGAAAACUCCAGAUUUUAUUGAGGCUUUUUCAGUGAACUCUGUACAAACACCGUCUUCUCCGUAUUGUGAUGAUCAGGUUAGAGUACCUGAAGCUCCAGAUGUUUGAAGGGUUUGCUUAUUGCAUCACAUAGUUCUUUAAUGUAUUGGUUCCUUAUUGUUUGCUCCUUGUUGAAUUAGAAGAGCUGGAUGAUCAGAAUAAGAUUAUGUACCUAGAUUGAUCAAGAAUGUGUUACAUAGUCUUAUAGAGAGAUUAUAGUAUCCAAAACCUCGACUAUAGAUUAUUUAUUAUCAAAUUUUAUUUUAUCCAUUUGCAGUUUUGCUUUGUUCUUUUUAAUUUUCAAGAUUGUAGAAGGGUACAAGAAAAUAAUUAGUUUGUGAUUUAAUUAUUGAAAAUUAUAACCCUAAAUUUGCAUCAGGCAACACUGAAAAUUCAUUGCUAAAUUCUUGAAGAGAAUUUUUUUUUUAGAGAAAGCAUUGUAGAGGAGAUGAGUAUUCCUACACGAUUAUGAUCAGGACAAUGGGAAGAAUUGGGAAGUACAAUAAAGCUGUUGAUCUAUUCAAUGAGAUGAUAACUGAAGGGCUUACUCUCAACGUGGUUGGUUACAAUACUCUUAUGCAAGUUCUCGCAAAAGGAAAGAUGGUUGAUAAGGCUAUUCAGGUUUUCUCCAAGAUGGUUGAAACGGGUUGUCGUCCCAACGAGUAUACGUACAGUCUGGUUUUGAAUCUUUUAGUAGCUGUAGGUCAGCUUGUGAAGUUAGAUGGGAUUGUGGAGAUGUCCAAGAGGUAUAUGACUCAGGGGAUAUAUUCUUAUUUGGUUAGAACGCUGAGUAAACUAGGGCAUGUGAGUGAGGCUCACCGGCUGUUUUGUGAUAUGUGGAGCUUCCCUGUGAAAGGACAGAGGGAUAGUUACAUGUCGAUGCUUGAGAGUUUAUGCGGUGCGGGUAAAACAGUUGAAGCUAUAGAGAUGUUGAGCAAGAUCCAUGAGAAAGGUGUGGUUACGGAUACCAUGAUGUACAACACCGUGUUCUCUGCGCUUGGGAAGCAAAAGCAAGUAUCUCAUAUUCAUGAUCUCUUCGAGAAAAUGAAAAAAGAUGGUCCGUGUCCAGACAUAUUCACGUAUAAUAUACUCAUCUCUAGUUUUGGUCGUGUGGGAGAAGUUGAUGAGGCUAUCAAAAUCUUCGAGGAGCUUGAGAGUAGUGACUGUAAACCGGACAUUGUUUCUUACAACUCUUUGAUUAAUUGUUUGGGGAAGAACGGUGAUGUCGAUGAAGCUCACGUGAGGUUCAAGGAGAUGCAGGAGAAAGGAUUGAACCCUGAUGUGGUCACAUACAGCACUCUGAUGGAAUGCUUUGGGAAGUCGGAGAGAGUCGAAAUGGCAUAUAGAUUGUUCGAAGAGAUGCUUGUUAAAGGGUGUCAGCCCAACAUUGUGACGUACAACAUUUUGCUUGAUUGUCUAGAGAAGAGUGGAAGAACCGCGGAAGCAGUUGAUAUGUAUACAAGGAUGAAACAGCAAGGACUCACACCUGAUUCCAUUACUUACAGUGUUCUUGAACGGUUGCAAUCUGGCUCUCAUGGAAAGUCGCGGAUUCGUAGGAAGAAUCCGAUAACUGGUUGGGUGGUCAGUCCUUUGUAGUCACGUGAAGUAGUGAAACAAGGUUUUGAGAAUGACACUUGGCUGGGGAAUGAAAACUCCAGAUUUUAUUGAGGCUUUUUCAGUGAACUCUGUACAAACACCGUCUUCUCCGUAUUGUGAUGAUCAGGUUAGAGUACCUGAAGCUCCAGAUGUUUGAAGGGUUUGCUUAUUGCAUCACAUAGUUCUUUAAUGUAUUGGUUCCUUAUUGUUUGCUCCUUGUUGAAUUAGAAGAGCUGGAUGAUCAGAAUAAGAUUAUGUACCUAGAUUGAUCAAGAAUGUGUUACAUAGUCUUAUAGAGAGAUUAUAGUAUCCAAAACCUCGACUAUAGAUUAUUUAUUAUCAAAUUUUAUUUUAUCCAUUUGCAGUUUUGCUUUGUUCUUUUUAAUUUUCAAGAUUGUAGAAGGGUACAAGAAAAUAAUUAGUUUGUGAUUUAAUUAUUGAAAAUUAUAACCCUAAAUUUGCAUCAGGCAACACUGAAAAUUCAUUGCUAAAUUCUUGAAGAGAAUUUUUUUUUUUUUUUUUUUUUUACAGAAUCAUGUAGCUAGAACAAGAAUAGCGUUGUUGCUGCAAACUCUCGCCGCCGCUAACGCGAUUCUUGGAGGCUAUAACCUCAUCUAGCGACAACCGGUUCCUCUCAGAAAGCCGAUGAGGUGCGCUAUGCGAACGUUGCUUCGCCUUAAACGACUGUGUAUUCUCCAUGUAGCCAGGACCAGGAGUGUUCAUUCCAUAGCCAGACUGAGCAUUUCCACAAACCCUUUUACUAGGACACUGCAUUACAUAGUAGCGAUUAUUAUUAGUCGUGUGAUGGUGAGAUGAAGAGGUUAGUCUCGGUGUCGUCGCAAACUUUGAUGAAGAUGACAAUCUUGGCGUGCUUUGCGCAGUCCCAGACUUCCACUUCUCCUUUGGUAAGUUCAACUCCAAAUCACUCCCUCGGUAAACAAAACCGUCUUCAUAUUCAGACAUUGGGACAAGAUUGUGCGUUUGCCUAGGUGUAGGUCUCCUCUUAAACAUGUCAUGGACCUCCACAAUCUUUUGAUGUCUCUCUUCACUCGCCACUUCAUCAAACUUAUCCUAUCAAUUAUAUGAAUCAGACAAAACACUUUUAAAGUCUUGGUUUUGGCUUAAAGAACAAGAAGUCAACAGAAGUGGUAAGUUGGUUCUUUACAAAGGAGUGUCGUGGUUGAAACAUGUGGCUGUACUCUUUCUUGUGGCGGCGAUCGCGUUUAGAACGCACAGCCGUUUGGACUCUAAUCAAAGCUUGUAUGCUAUGCAGCAUCGUAGCCGCGCGUUUCCUUACCAAGUAUCCUCUCACUAAAGCUUGCAGCUUCACUAUACCUUUCAAAGCUCGUAAUGCUUUCCUCGCCUUACCAUUAAAAUAAAAUUUCAUAUAAACAAUUAUUUCUAUUUAAAGAUUCGAACGUUAAUAAAUCUUUGGAAAUAAACGUUUUGAAGAUGUGGAAAUUUACCAAAGAGCCCCUAAAGACCUUUUGGAUUUUCAUAGCGGCCCAACGUUCCUCCCACGUCAUGAUAUCUCCUGCUCUUCCUUCACCGGUCAGUCUAACCAUUUCCGCAGCUGCUUUAGCCCCAGAAACCACUGCUUCUGCGGCUGUAGCUGCUGCGGUUGCAACAGCAAUCGCGUUCUUGUUUUGUUCCUUCUCUUUAUCGGAACCAUCGCCGGAAACGAGUCUCUUCUUUGUGCUAAACAAUCCUUUAAACCAUCUCACUGCUCCGCCCAUCUCGAUGUGAUAGAACCUAAAACAACUUUAUUUCUUGUAACCUGUGAUGUGAUGAUUUAGAAAGAUUUUCUAAGAAUGAGAUAACUUCGCGAACACCCAAAACGAACGUUUUGUAUGGAGAGAAGAAAACAAAAUUUCAUCGUAUUGAUUUAAAAAUAUAUAUACUCUUAAAGCUUUUAUUUUAAUCUUGUUGGAAUUCCAGCAUGUCUCUGAUGAUAGUUAUUUCCUCACAAGUAUACAAAGCAUCCCACUAUAGAAUAUUGACAUGAACAUAGCUAAAAGAACAGUUCAAAAAAAAAAAAAACAUAGCUAAAAGAAGAUCGUAUUACUAUGGAUAAGAUCUUUACAUAUAAAAAAAAUGGUUAGAAGCUGUAAAAUAAUAUUUUUUCUUACUCAUGUAAACCUAUAAUUUGAAAUAUACUUACAUAAAUUAUAAAGUAAAAAUUCAAAUUUAUAAAAAAAAUUAGGAGAAUAUUUAUGCUCAUUUUUCACAGCCUGUAGAAUUUGAGUAGUGAAUAAAUAACGGAUGGCCUCAAACUACUGUUUUGCAGAAAAGGAAGGUUAAAGAAAAGGAUCUGACACAGCCUCGUGAAAAUAUAAAAGUGAAUUACAAGACAAAAGAAAAUGAUGUCAUGGAGAGACAAAACAAAUUCUUUGUAAUCAUUUUCAUAUUCGAGAAACAAACAAGUUCUUAUUUGUCUUCCGUUAUGAAAAUCAUAUACGGAUCGAGGAACGCAUUAUGAAAUCAAACGCAAUGGGGAAAUGAUAUGCAAGCAAAGAAUAAAACAUAAAUAUCAACUUUUACUAGCGAUUUAAUAAGUACAAAGUAGAACUCACCUUCAAAGGAUAUAGUAGUUUCUUUGCCUCCAACAAAAUUGCUCAGACAAUAAAAAAUUGUUCUGGCCUUUAUGUAAUGGAGCAACAAGCUAAAGUCAUCACAUUUAUUCUAAUUCCAGUAAUUAAGUAUUUCCUUCUUUAACUCCGAUUUUUAAAAAAAAAAAUUAAAAGUGCUAGUUAAGAUAGUAAUAUAUUUUCCUUCUUUAUGGUUAAACACAGUUAAUGCCACUGAUUGAUCGGUUUAAACAGGGUAAUGGACCGUUUUGUACUUUUAAAAUUAUUCAGUAGUCAAUCACAUUCAGUUUUUUUCACUAUAAAUUCAAUAAUUAAUUACAUAAAUUCACAGUAUAGAAAAAACAGUCAACAUUCAGAUAAAUAUCUAUUAAAAUUAAAAUGUAUUGAAAUAAAUUUAUUAUUUCCUAAUUAUCUAUGACUGGACCAGUUGCACUAAGAGAAGCCUUUCACCAGCUUGUCUCAUUGGGAAAUUACAACUGAGCUCAAUUUCUAGUAGCGUAUGGUCCAAUUAGUGAUUGUAGGUGAUACUAGAUGCCUCAGUUUGUAAGUGUGGUUGAAACCUUAGUGGUGUUAAUCAUGUUCUCCCAUGGUGGUUAAAUGAAAAGUUGAUUAUGAGUUAAAAAAGAAAAGAAAAAAAAAGCCUUUCACCUCAUUUUCCUCAGAAUUUUGACGUCUUCUUGACGAUUGGUCAUUGGACAUAUUGUAGAAUUUGAAGUAUUUCGUUAGAAUAAAACUUAUUUUUUGCGUACCAAAAAAUAUAAUUUUUUUUCUUCUAAAAAACACGCAUGGUGCUAGCACUGAAGUCUUCAUUUCUAUAGAAUUCGGUUUUACUUAUUCUUAAUAUGCAAAUGAAUGAGUUAAGAUGGCUUAAUCUUAAUCAGAAUACACUAAUCUUUUGUUCCUAAAACGUUGAGGAAAACAUAAUAAGCCAUCAUAUCAAUGUAGUAUACUUGACCAGACAUUAGAAUGAACAUAUUUUGGAGCAAAAAGAAAAAGUAGGCAGUGAGUGUCGCCUAUUGCUGCUUUGAAUAGUUUGGCAAGUCUCUCAACGAAAAAGACUCUUCACUGCAUUCAAUCUGUCUAGUUUUAUACAUAGAAAUUGCCCUUUAUUUUGUAUCUCUACACUCCAAGAAAUGAUAGAAAUACAGAAGUAAUAGUAUUUGAGAUCAACAUGCAUGCAUGCAAGUAUGCAACAAACCGAUCUUAAAAUCUUUAUUACUCUCAUCAAACAUUCUCGUUGGCCAAAACAAAUAUGUUAAGAUGAGAAAAGAAACUGGUUAAAGAAAUCUCUCCUUACAACUCAUUUAAAGAAAAGCUGUUAUAUAUUUAAAAACCUUUCACUGCAGAGUUAAUAAAAGCUACAGAGCUUUUGCCUAUUGCAGAGAAGAAAGAUUGUUUCGUUUCUUCUUUUCAAAAAAGACGCUAUGCAGAAGUAGAGAGGUUCAAUAUUUAAUAAAAUUGUAGUUUUAAAUGUGUUCAUUAAGUGUGACUAAUCAUGAUGCAAAGCUUUUAACAGAAGAGACUAUAACGACUAAAAGAAUCUGUAACAUACUCAAGAACCUAAAUCAUCUUUUUCAUUGUCUGAACUUGAUUGAUAACUCACUUAGUAUGAAAUUCUCAAAAUUCAAAAGAUGUACAUCAGACUUGAAUUAUAAUUAUAAACUUUCCAAAGACUAAAACUCAUCAGAGUUGAAAAGGCAAAAGCAAAACAUAGUAACAUCUCUACUUUAAGCUGUAAAAGUUUUUUUUCUUCAGCUCCUCAUCUUCUCUUGCUUACCAUUUCCAUCUGCAAAAUUCAAAUAUUUUCUUUUAUAAUCUCACAUAAAGAGUCAUAAGACAAGAAGAAUGUUUUCAAUUCGGAAUAUCAAACUUACAUGUUAAGGCUGAAGAGAUCUCAGAGGUUUUAAUCACACGAAGCCUCUUUACCGAAGAUACAAACAUACUGAAAAUUAAAAGGCAAAAAAAAAAAAUCAAUUUCUUUGAUAUCAAAAGUCACAAAGAAACAAACUUUUAAAGAUUCUUACUGCCAUGGGAUAUCUCCCGCAAGCAUCUUGUCUCCUUCAAUGUCCUCAUAAGUAAGAGUAUAUUCUCCAUUCCCAUCCAAUAAUCCAGUGUUGGUUUCUCUUCUUCUCCAAAUAAUCCAGGGAUUACAUAUUUGAAGAAGUUUUAUUUAAUUUUAUGAUAAGUCCAAAAUACACAAGGAAUAUGAAAAUAUAAAAUUUAUCCUAACAGGAAGUUUGAUAUUAAAUUCUAAACACUUUUACAUCUAAAAAUAAAACCAUUGUGAUAUUUCUUCUGAUAGAAACAAACGAAAACGUAGCGUGAAAAAUUGAAACUGUUGAUCAAAUUUUCUUACAGUUCAGCAUCGGCAUGAUCAUAAUUAUACUCGUUUCUUCAUGUGGCGGCGAUAGUACUAGUCCCACAGGAUUACCUGCCGAGACAAUCGACCAAACUCAGCAGUCUCAACAAGACAUUGAAACUGGACAGAGGAAAGUCCUAGUGUUCAAAGAAAUCGAACAAGAAGAAGAAGGAGGCGGUAAACAAUUUUGUUCAAUUUGUUUGGAAGAGUACGAGGAUGAUCAUGAGAUUAUGCGUUUAAACAAAUGUGGACAUAUUUUUCAUCAUUUUUGCAUGGACUCUUGGCUUGCACGUCACCGGAGCUGUCCAAAUUGUCUUCGUUCUGUUGAUCUGAAUUCUUGAGUUUUUUGGUCUUCAUAUUAUAAUCAUUUUAGUAAUUUACUAGGUAAUAUUAUAAGUUUUGUGACUCAUUGAAUCGUGACAAAAAAAAGUUAUGAAGAGUAGAUUGUCAAUAUUUUAUACUAAUCAAAGUUUUGGUCAAAGGUUUCACAAUCGAACUCAAGUUGACUUUGAAGCUAUGUUUGUUUUAUUAGGACAUAAAUACUCUUUUAUUAUUGGUCUACUUUCCACCGGUUCAAGCUUUUUUCCUUGUGCAAUACUUUUAUGGAUAUUGAGACUUGAGAGUGGUGAUCGAAUGCAAUACUUUUACAUCCGCAACAACUUCAAGCUUAGAUAGAUUGAUGGGAUGCCACCACCAUUGAUGCUUUGCUUUAUUAUAUGCGUUUUUAAUGACCGUGUGUGGUGGAUGAGAAGUCACAGGCCCCUCGAAGGGAUAACAUAUAACGUUGUUUUGUUUCCUAAUCAGAGGAUAUAUCAUAUGAUAAACAAAAGGUACAUAUUCCAAACAGACCCUAAUAUUUUGAUGGCUUAUUCACAUGUAAAUAUAAAUAUAUAGAUAUCAAACACAUCGAAAGCUAUUAGAUGAAACCAAACUCCACAUUUACGGGUCAUUAGUGCAUCGACAUGGGCAGCAAGCACCUGCUGGAGCCGGUGCACAAACACAACACGCACAAGCAGGACAGAAGCGAAUUGGUGGCGGUGGUGGUACUCGUUGUGCUCCCAGCAGGAGAAGCAUACGCCCUUCAACUGUAAGGAAACAAAAGAUUCACCUUACAGAAAACCACGAAGGAAUUUUAGUUUUUAAAAAUAUAUGCUUACCAUCUAGAUGCGCUCGAGCUGCCUGACAUGGAAGGAUUGGAGACAGGACCAAAGCAAGUACAAGAACAGAGAGGAGGAUGACUGAGCUUGAUCGCUCGGCUGCCAUUGAAAACGUUCUGCUAAAAAAUGAUUAGAAACUUACGAAAAUGAUUUCUGAUUGCAGUUUGAAACCAUUGUAGGUGAUGCUUAUAUAGGCCAAGAACAAAUAAUUGGAGCAAAGUUGGUCAAGAAGUCUAGCAAUAAAAUAAUAUAGAGAGUAAACAAGUAUAUAUGACUAUUGACUAAGUAAGCAACCGAAAAUUCACACUAUCGAGAAUGAAUGAAUGACGGCUCAAUGUAUAUGAUGAGGAGACUUUAGAUCUCUUGUUAAUACGCAAAUCUGAAGAAGUUUAUAAUUUUUUUGAUCAUUCAAUCUGUUUGAGACUGCUGGUAGUGCUCAUUCUUUUCUUCCCAGAAUUUUUGUCUAUGACUAUGAAAUUGUACUGGUAGGAUUUGAUUCUUUAAAGUCUACCAGAACAUUUUGUAAGUGGCUAGUCGUGGUGGUUUCAAUUUAACAAAGUUUUUUAAAUGUUCAAAUGUCUCCUUGAUUAUUAUUUACUAUUUUUUCGCAGAUAAUGUAUUUAAGAUAUUGAUUAAUAGUUUUCGUUAAAAGUUGAAAUCAAACUCCAUAAAACAGUUGACUUUGUUUAUUUUUGACGUCGAUAAAAUUGAAACUAGAUUUUGUAAGGAUACUGAAUCAACAUGGCCAAUAUUACCAAAACGAAUUUGAUCCAGUUGGUUGUGGUUAUGUCCUCCACUCUCUCUCUUUGUUACCUCUUACCCUUUAUUAUCUCAUGACUCUUAUCAAAAAGCGAGGUAAUAAUAAUAAUUACCUUUUUCUUUUUCAAAAAACAAACAUAGCCCAUAUUAUUUAUGUUUCAAAGUUAGUAUGUCUUUGGAAACUAAGAUUAAGCGUUCAUGUAAGUGUGGACAUGUUUUUCAUCGUUUCUGUAUAUAUUCUUGAUUUACACAUGAUCGGAGCGAGAUGUCCAAAUUGUUGUGGUUCAGUUGAUUUGAUGUAGAUUUUGAUCUUUAAAUUAAUUGACAGAUUUUGUUUAUCUACUAAAUGAAUACUUGGGUUGGGCUUGUAUUUUGUCAUUACAAGUGAAACUUUUUGUCAUUACAAAUAAAUAGUUGUGUUACGAAUAGUAAGAGUUAUGUUAGUAGUAUAGUACUAAUGAAGACUUGCGUCUCUUAUUCCUUGUGAAUCUUUUGAAUGAACACUCUAAAGUCACAGCCGUAAACAUAGAGAAACUCAAUUAUCAACCAACAAAAGAAAGAGCUGAUAUUAAAAUUAGAGUGUUAUUAUUUUAUGAGAAAAUUACUAGAAUGUUACACAUUUUAUGGUUUAUUACUAGAAUGUUGUAUAUCUUUGUUUUAUUACUAGAAUGUUUUCUCUUUCCUAGUAAUUUACAAUAAGGGGCUUUUGUUAUGUUUUAUUUUCUGAAACUAAUUUUAAAGAUCAAAGCCACAUCAGUUAUUUAAAAUCCACAUCACAUCAGUUAUUUUUUGAAACCAAACCGUCUCUAUCACUAUCACUAUCACUAUCAUACAUACGGUUUUGUAAAAAAAAAAAAGAAAAGAACACGAAGAACUGUGUUGUGUCGAAGAAGGAACCGCAAACCGAAAUCGUCUCACCCUUCGAAACCCUCGUCGACAUUGUUCUUUACUUCUUCGAACUCUCUCUAACUCUCUGUCGUUGAACUCUCUAUAACUCUCUGUCGUUGAACUUUGUCUCGUCGGAGUUUUUAGAAACCGUCGUCUGUACGAAAUCGCCUUCACCGCAUUCUCAUCAACGAGUUCAUCUUUUCCGGUAAGAUGUCGCGACGUUAUAUAUUGUAUUUUGGUUGAGUUUGUGGGUCAGUUAUAUAUUGAGGCUGUGAUAUGGGUGUGUCGAGGUUUUUGUUGCGACUGAGUUAGGGUUAUGUUGACUGUGCUAUGGGUUUGUCGAGGAUUUUGUUGUGUCUGAGUUAGGGUUAUGUUGCGGCUGAGAUAUGUGAUUGUCUAGGCUUUUGUUGUGUCUGAAUUAGGGCUUUUUGUUGUGGCUGAGUUAUGGUUAUGUUAUAACUGAGUAAUUAUUAUGUUAUGGCUGAGUUAUGGUUAUGUUAUAACUGAGUAAUUAUUAUGUUAUGGCUGAGUUAUGUAUAUGACCUAAUAUAUUUUAAUAUUAUGAUAUGGCUGUGUUAUUUUUAUGUUGUGGCUGAUUUAUUGUUGUGUUAUAUGAUCAGAUGGAUGUUAGUCAAGUCGAACCACGUGAUUACCCUCCAAGACUUUACCCUUCUAACCUAGAAGGUAAAGAUAUCAAUCAUAAUUUCCGUGCAGGACAUUUCCCCCACAUUAAAGAAACAAUAGGACUCGAUGUGUGGGAAGAACUGGUGAACUCUCUCAUUGGAGUAGUUGCUAGGCUACUUUCACGCGAAAGCAUUUGGUCUGGUAGGACCGUACACUAUCUGCUAUGUAGACAGCUGCGAGUGCAUAAAAAGGAGAUAUGGUCUGUUGUGGCUGAUGAUGUUAUCAGGUUUAGCUUGCUCGAGUUUGGUGAGAUCACUGGGUUAAACACAGGUCCAUUGCCAACAGAAAGUUUUGAACCUGAUCAAUACAAAGAGUUUU